This 78252-nucleotide long non-coding RNA is filed under the name Gossypium barbadense (sea-island cotton). RNAcentral's name for it is "long non-coding RNA (GBAR_LNC001847)". The stretch from base 920 to 1064 matches the Rfam family "MIR7502 microRNA precursor family". Lineage: Eukaryota; Viridiplantae; Streptophyta; Magnoliopsida; Malvales; Malvaceae. The record is from RNAcentral.
AGAGAUCAGAAUCUUUUGUUAGAGUCAUAAAGUGCAAUGUUGAAGAGGUUGAGGGAAUAGAACCACAAGCUGUUAAGAUAUGUUCAGUAGCGCGUAAGAUGUGGAGAAUGUAUCAAGCUGACGUAAACAGCAUUAUGUUAAAGGUUCGUACUUUGCAUACAUCUUUAUCCUUUUACAUAAACAAUACUUAUAAGAUUCUCCACGUGCAGGUUCCUUCAAGCCAGAGGUACGUAUAUUUUUCCGGGAGUGAGAAUGAUAGGAAAUCAGUACAUGCCCUCAAGAAAUCCAUCAUCAAGUCAAGAGAGCUCUCUUCAUCAAGUUCUGCACUUGAAGAAACUAAAUUUGUUAGACACAGUGUAAACUUUAUGAAGAUCUGGAGCAGCGAGAGAGAAUUGAAAGGUCGAUGUUCGUUAUGCAGAAAAAAGGUGCUUUAUGAUUUACCAUACUAUACUUGUUGCAGUCAAGAUAAUUUAAUGGCACAUUCUCAACAUAAAAAGUUUAUUUUGUCUAUCAGGCAUCAGAUGAUGGUGGAUUGUGUAGCAUUUGGAGGCCCACUUGUCCAGACGGGUAACUAUUAAAUUCUUCGUAGCACUUUUUUGUCUUAUGUAGAUUAGAGUUUGUAUUUACUCAAAAGUCUUAUUUCUGAAUCUGAUUGCUGUAGCUUCCUGUGUUUACAUGAAAUAUGUAGCCUUUACGUUCAGAAUGUUCUGCUGGUGCUAAUCACUUGUGACCCGAAAUUACGGAAGUGUUGUAAACCUUGAAAAAUACUUAUUUUAUGAUAAAUGGUAGCACCUAUUACAUUUAGUGGUAAAAGUACCAUGGAGGUCCCUGUAUAGGAGUCACAUUACGUUUUGUCCCUCUACUGAAAAAGGAAAAAUUAUUCUUUAUACAUUAGAUCAAAGACCAAAUUGGCCCUUUCUGUUAAAAAAUUUAUCCAUUUGUACUGUUAAAAACUGGCAUGGUUGAUGGAAUAACCAAACAUUGACACGUGGCGUGUCAUGUGUACCUCAAGUUGACCAACAUGGACUAGUUUUUAACAGCAGAAAUGGAUGUAAUUUUUAAUAGGAUCAGUUUGCUCUUUGAUCUAAAGUACAAAAACUAGUUUUUCCAUAUUUUGAGUAAAGGGGGAAAAAUGCAAUCAGAUUCCUAGUACAGGCCUCCAUGAUACUUUUACUGACUUUAGUCAUUUCUUGAUGUACAUUGCUAUCUAGUGAACCAUGUUAGUACUUGUUGCUUCUUUUCCCCCUUAUUUGUUUUUAAAUAUCAAGCAGAAUAAUUUUAUUUCCUUCAGGUAUGUCUCUGUCGGUGACAUAGCUCGUGUUGGGAACCAUCCUCCUAAUGUUGCAGCUGUUUAUCAAAGCAUCGACAAGCUAUUUGCACUUCCCGUGGGUUAUGACUUGGUAGGAAUAUCGGAUUCGAUCUUUCAAAUAGCCAUCUUGAGGACUUUUAGGAGCUACUUAAUGACAUCCUGUUUUAGUUGCAUGAAUUCAAAUCGUCAUAUUUGAGAGUUUUUUGCAGGUGUGGAGGAAUUGUAUGGAUGACUACACAACUCCAGUGUCUAUUUGGUAUCCAAGAGCUCCCGAAGGAUUCAUCAGUCUCGGUUGUGUUGCUGUACCAGGUUUUGAGGAGCCAGAACCCGACUUAGUACAAUGUGUGGCCGAAGUAAUAUUGGAGGAAACUACAUUUGAAGAGCAAAAAAUAUGGUCUGCACCAGAAUCAUAUCCAUGGGGUUGUCAUGUUUACCAAGUCAAAAGUGAAGCUCUUCAUUUUGUUGCUUUAAGGGAAAGUAAAGAAUACAAGGAUUGGAAACCCAGGAAAAUUCCUGAUCAUUUCCAGCCUCAGCAAUCAUUAGAAGAAGCUCACUGAAUCUUUUUUUUUUUGUGCCAUUUUUUUAGAUUGAAUGUGAGAUGUAUGUAUGUAUGUACAAAUUGGUUUGACCUUUAAGUAUUGUUAAUACCAAAAAUCAAAGAUGUAAAUGAAUCCCAAUAAGCAUUUUUUUGAUAAAGCAAAGAAGUAUAUUUCAACAGAAGUUUGACUGUUUUUUUAGUUUACUAAUUAGCAGUCAAGAUAAAUUUGAAUAGUUGGUACACUGGCAGGUUGGAUUUAAGACGAGUUUAAGAAUAAUAUUAACAUGUAAAAUUUUGUCCAUUUAUAUAUGACUAAGUUUAGGUUAUAGUGCUAUAUAUCACUAUAUAUUAUUUUUUAUAUAUAAUGAAUUAUAUAAUAUUACUUUAUAAUAUAAUAUAUCAUAAAUUUAAAAUGAUUUGAACUAUUAUCUAUAUUUUAAACGAAUUUAAUCUUUUGACAAUCUAUUUUUGAGUUUAAUAUUUUAAUCCUAAACUUGCAAAAUUCAAGGGGCAUAAUAACAUUUUAGACUUUUUAAUUUUAUAAAAAAAUUAUUUUAGUCAUCCAUUUAAUAGAUGUGAAUUGUUAUAUAAAUAACACACCAUAUUUUUAAAUUUAAAAAAUUAAUUAAAUACUAACCAUAUUUAUAUCACAUCAAUAAAGAUAAAAAUUAAAUAUGGGGCUAAAAUGACGUUUUCUAUUAAGUUGGGAGCCAAAUAAAUCAUUGUACCAAACUUUUGAGCGAGUACUCCUUCAUGAUUAAGUCCAGGGUAGAUAUUGUAUUACAUCUAACAACAAAAUGAAUAAUAUACAUAGAUCCGAAAACAAAAUGAGAAAUGAAAUAGCAAAACUUUUAUUCCUUUUUAACAAAAAUUUGAAAUAGACAAAGAAACUUCAUCCUUCUAUCAAUCAAGUACAACCAAUUUCUGAUACUCUUCACCAGAAAUAGCAGCUUCCAUAACAGCAACAGGGUUUAUAUCACCAUCUUCAUCCAAAAACAUCUUUAAUAAAUUCUUCGAAAAUCCACUAACCAAAGCAACCCCUUUUUGAGUUGCAGGCACUGGUGUAGCCCUUGAAUGUCUCAAAUUCCAAAACACAAUUUGUGGGAUCACAUCUCCAUACCCUUUCUCUGUAAAUUUCUUUACAAUAACAUCAUAAUCAGUCUCCCAUGGUGACAUUGAAGCUUGAUCAAAUUCCAUAUCACUAAACACAAACAACCUUUUAAUCAUUUGUUCUGGUUUUAAAUUCCCUUCAACAGCAACUUUCAAUAUAAGAUCAAAUACUUUUUGAAAAUCAGUGUUGCCACCCCAUUCCAUAUCUCUCACAAACUGUGUUUUUUCCUUCAAGUUUUCACCUUCUACUAAUUUAAGUUUAGGGCUUUCACUAAAAGUUAUAAGCUUUCCUUUCCAUGGUUUUUCACUUAAAUCCGAUACCAAUACGCCUAAUGCGACUGAAACUUCCAUUGGUGUCCCGUGCAUACUACCGGAAACAUCGGAAACCGCCAUACAAUUACGAAGUUUACCUUUUUGUAAUAAGUCAUUCACCAUCCUCUGCCAUUGAAGCUCUGCUACUUGCUCAACUUGUUCGUCGUCGGCUUUGUUUAAUUCAGCGAUUAUUUCGUGUGGGAGUAAUGCACCGGAUGCGAUAGUCGACUUACCGGCUUUUACGUCUUCUAAAUACUUCGAAAACCGAUCUUUAUCGUGUUUUAAAAACUUCUCCUUGUAAAACUUCAUUGCUAUAGAAGCUACUCUGUUGUAAGGGAUUGAAUCCCAUUUAUUUGCACCAAUGUAUACUUCUGGUAAUUCUAAAAUUUUACGCAGUGGCACUAACACAUCUUUUCUAAGCCGAUCACGAACACGGUAAGCAUAAUGUUCUUCAUCGAUUCCUUCAUAUUCAGGAUAAUUUUCUCGAGAAAAUAUUUUCUUGGAAAUGCUUUCACAUAACAAUGUUGAUUUAUCAAAUGAAGAAUCAAUUGAAGGACACCAUUUUGCAGCAAGACCAAUCUUUCUAGUUUCAUUAGAUUUCAAAAACUCCAUAUCUGAUUUAAGACAAGCAGCAAAAAGAUCAGAGACACGUUCAUAAAGGAACCUGAAAUCUGGGUCUCUUGAAUAUCGCUCGAUCACCUUUUUAGCCAUUGAAAUCUUCUUUUCCUUUCUUAAAUCCCUUGCUUUUGCUUUCUCCAAAUUCGGGUUUGUAGCUCCUUUGGGUUUUGAUUUUUCCACUUUUUGCUUCAUUGAAUAACAACGGCUUCCCUCUCUGAAUAUCCCCAUCUUUCUCAUCAACCAAUCUUGUUUUUGAACCUGUCUAACCGUAGAUCCUUCAAGCAAACGAUACAGAAUUUCGGGUAAAUCCUUGAAAUACCCAAAAUUAACAAAGGAAUCCAAAUUACAAGCAAGGGUUUUAGGAUGAUGAUCGUGUAACCAAAACGCCGCCGUAUAAAACCCUUCCUUGUCGGAUUUCCCUGUACCACGAACACCACGUAAGUUACAAAUUAGCUUCAGAGUCAUCAAUGGAUCAAAAUUCCAAGCUCGACCCAACAUUUCUCUAAUGGAAUCGGGAGGGGAAUUAGGUACCACAUGGAAAAAAAAGUCAAGGCAAGGGUUGCCGGUGGCUAAAUAAGUGGCUGAAUUAUUUUCGGUGAAUCCCAUCGAAGGUGUGUUUUUGGCUUUAUUGAAAUUAGCCAACAUUAGAUCCAUGAAUGGAUCGCUUGGAACUUUAGUGGUGGUGGUGGCGACAGUGGUUUCAGGCUUUGGAGGAGUGGGGUGGCGGAGCUCCGGUGGGCCGAGAAGAGACGGUGGCGACAUUGUUGAUGAGGGCUAAAGAAGAAGAAGGGAUUUUGUUUCGAAUGUAGAGCGACGUGCUUGAAUAUGGUUUAUUUAUAACGUACGCCUUACCUUGGUCCCCAAGAAUAUGAUUAUUUUUCUAUUUUUACCCUUUUAUCUAAUAGGAAAUUUCUCUUCUUUGAAAUUUUAUUUUUGUAUUAUCUUAAUAAUUAAGCAAUAAAUUAAUUUAUUGUCAUGGAAAAAAAAUUAUUUUUGGAAUAAUUACAUGUACGUUACAUAAUUUCAAAAGGCUUUAUUUUUUUUCAUAAAUUGGCCCUUAAACUAUGAUUUUUAGAUUGGUCUUUAAAGGAUUUGUUUGCAAACUACAAAAAUAAUCACUAAAUUUUGGUGAAAUUUCUUUCUUUUGUCACUGAACUAUAAAAAGUUACAUUUUAGUCAUUAAAGUUAUCGGUUUAUAACGUUUUGGUCAUUCGUCCGUUGAUGGUCGUUACAAUCUUAACCGAAAAGUGAAGUGGCAUUUUACUUCAAGGAUAUAUAUCCAAUUUGAUCCUUGAACUAUAUUUAAAACAUUCGAUUUGGUACUUUUACAACAUUUUAACAAUAAUCCCAAAAAAAUUAUUAAAAAUUAUAAAGAAAUGAAAAAAUCUUUAAAAAUAUCAGAAAAUUCAUUAUUUAUUUUUUGAAAUUAUAAAAAUAUUUCUUUAAAAUUAUAAUUAUGUAAAAAAAUAAAAAUGAUAAAGUUGAAAGUUAAAAAAUCAUAGUGUCUUAGAUUCAAAUAUCUCACUACGUAGAUUUUAAUGACUUUAUAUAAAUAAAAUGACUAAAGACCUCUCAUAUUAAGAUAACUUAUUUGGUAGAAAUAAUAAUUUUUAGUUAUUUUCUAAUUAAAUUAGUGCUCAGUCGACUAGUGACACAGAUUUAAUUAAGUAUUUAAAUAUAGUAUAAAUAAGUACAUUAUAAUAAUUAUAUUAUUAUUUAAACUUUUUAACUAAACUGACGCCAUGAGUCAAAUUAACUCAAUUGAAAAUGACUAAAAAAUUAUUAUUUUUACGAAGUAACAAAUAUUAAUAUAAGGGUAUUGUUGAAAGUUUCAAUUUAACUAUUUCAAUUAAAACCUUUUUUGAUUUUUAUAUACUUUUUCAUAAGUAUAUUGUUUCCGUAACUUUUUUACCUUGUUAUAAUCUAGUAUAUAAUAAAUUUAUUAUAUUAAAAUUACUAUUAUAAUAUUUUUGUACUAAUUACAUUUUAGUUAAUAUAUUAUUUGGUACUUAAGUUUGGCUUUAAUAUUUAAUUUUGAACUUUAGUUUUUUUUCAAUUUGGUACUUAAAUUUAAUUAUAAUGUUUAAUUUGAUAUUUGAGUUUUUUUUUUUGGUUGCAAUCAAUUAUUUAACUUUGGCUUAAUGUCCAAUUUGAUACUUAAGCUUUUUAUUUUGUCUCAAUUAAGUACCUAUGUUUUUUUACUAUAGUACACAUGUCAAAUAUUCAUUAAGUCACCUGAUACCAUUUUAUCUGGGUACUAAAUUAAACAUUAAAGCCAAAUUCAAGUAUCAAAUUGAAAUAAAAAAAUAUUAGUACUAAAUUAAACAUUAAAAGCAAAUUCAAGUAUGAAAUGAUAUAUUAACAUUUAAAAUUUUAAGGGAUUUCGAUUUUGUCGUCCAUUAUCUAAGGUGAAUCCCAUUUGAUAAUAGAUGAUUAUCAUCUAUCUUCCUUGAUUUUUUGCCGAGGAUUUGGGGCAUUGAAAGUGACUAUCAUAAAACGCAUCGUUUUACCAUGUUGAAACUUUAAAGUUUACUUUUCUGUGAAAAACUUUCUUGGUAGAAACUUUCCUUUUCUUUUGCAUUUUCUCAUCAAACUUUAGACCUUUUAUAGAGAACUCAAAUAUAUGAAAAUAUUUCUUUCAAUCAAUUUUUAGGAGGCCAGCACAUUACUAAUACGUUAUUUCAACUUCCAAUAAACUAGUGACACGUGGGUUUUUAUUUGUUAAAAGUUAUGUAAUUUUGAAUAUACACUAUAGAUAAAUUGUAAUUUUUUAAGUGAAAUUCUUCCAAACUGCUAUACAUGAUUGUAAGACUCAACCAUGCCAACUUUAGUUUCAAGGAAAGUCACUUUAUUACCAUCCUUGGGAAACAAUUAUUACAUAUCUUUAUUUUAUUUGAAGAAUCUCGUUAAAUCAACCAAUUCGAUUAGAGAAGUUUAUCUAUUGAAAAUAUUUUAUCAAGAAAGUGUAUUUGCCAUUGCAUGGUUAUCGGUACCAAUGCUUUGUAUACAUAUUCUGUACGUGGAUCUUGUCCUAUCAUAUCAAUAUCCACUUAAGAUAAUUUAUAAAGACAAAAUUCACUAUAAUUUCCAAAUGCAUAUGUUAAAGGCUCACCAACAACUCAACAAGUCACUCAACAAGGUACGUGACUUCAUGGGAUCCACAUGAAAAACUUAUAAAUUCCCUUCAUAAGCAUAGCUCAAUCCCUUUUUUUACGAUUAACGUUAUGACUUCGCACAUCCAUCAUGUGAAUCAUCUCCAACCUCUCAAACCACUUCUUUGUAUGAACAAAUUUCAUUUAGCAUUUUGAUGAUCUUUUAUCUAAGUCAUUUCAUUUUAAAAAUAUUUAAUUAUGGUUUUAGUACCUCUACCAUGCAGAAUAUGGUUGAUAGGAUUUUCAUGCGACUUUAACUAUAUAAUCAGAUACCAAUAAAAUAAAAUUCACAUUAUUACUUUAAAAACAUCAACUAAUUGUGGUAUCAAUUUAAACCUACUAAUGAUAACACCAAUUUAUUCAAAUUAAAAUAAUAACAAAGUUCAGAAUAGGGACUGAAAUCAUAAUUAGACCUCUGCUAGGUGACUUGAUACUAAUGCUUCUAUUCUUAAGAAUAGCAUCAAAAUAGAACUAAUGAACAUAACAAUGCAUAGAGCAAAAGAAAAUAUAGGAGGUUUUAAAUUACACAAAGGCAAAUGAACUAACAAGCAGCAGCCAUUCCUCUCGUCCAUCAGGUCAAAUUUCUUAGCUCUAAGAAGCAAAAUGGUUCGACGAAACUCAACAUGCUAUUUGCUAAUGCUAUUCAACGUAUAAUAAAUACUGCCGGUUCACACCAAACGCAACCACAUGUAUCAGUUCUUCAACAGGGGCAUCAGCCAUGGAUAAUGGCCGGUCAAUUCGUUGUUUCAGUUCGGCUGCGAAUAAUCCUGAUAGCAUAUCAUCAGGUACUUUUGUUCAUAACUCUUUCAAUGAGGAGUCCAAAGUAAUCGACGGUUCAUUGCAGGCGGUGCUAGUCCUGGAAUAUCCCGGAUUUCCUUGUUGUUUGGAUUCACAAACUGAGAAACAGAACACCAAUAAUCGAUCACAAAGUAUAUAAACCAUGUCGAAGUUCAGUGGUUCAAUGGGGAAGGGGCGUGUACUUUUAGUUUUAUAAUUUAAUCGAAUUAGUUUGGUUAACAAGACCGUCACCUUAUCUAAUUCAGUCCGUCGAUUAAAGGUUUUUUUUUAAUUAUGAUUAUUGAUUAAUUCAAUUAGAAACAAAAUAAUUAACCGAAAUUAUUAAUAAUAUAUUACAUAGCCCAAUACAUUAUAUAAGCCCAAAAUAUAAAAAUUACCGAAUUUAUAUAUGUAUAUUCUUUUAAUGAGCUUAAAAAGUGCUAGAAAUUUCAUCAUACUUAUGCGUUUGAAAAUUAAGCAUAUAGAACAUAAAUAUAAAUUAUGACACCAAAUUAGUCAUAUACACAAUUGUUGAGGUUUAUAAAUUAUGAAUAAUAUAAUUAAAAUGUAAAUAUUAUAUUAAAAUGAAAUUUUGAUUUAGUUGUAAAGUUAAUAUUUUAUUGAUGUAAACAACACAGGUUUAAAUCUAACCACUUACAAAAUUAAAAAAAUAUUCAUGGACUUAAAUAAUAGUAUAGAUUAUAAAAACUAAAAUUAUUUAAAAAUAUAAAACUAAAAAAUAAACAAAAAAUAAAAAUAAAAAAAAAGUAGUAAAAAUUUCGGUUAACUUAGAUUAACCAUUCCAACUAACUAAAAUUAUUUCGAUUGGUUAAUAAUUUUUAAAAAAUUUUGAUUAGAUAUUUUAAAUUUUCGAUUAACUAAAUCGAUUAUUUUAAUUUGAGGUGGAGAAAUAGAGUACCUUGACAAUUAUGAUGGCUAUGAUACCGGUCACAAUGAGAAAUAAUAGUGCCAUAAUGCACUUAUCAGUAGCAACCUGCAUACAAAAAGUAAAUACAUUAGAAAAUGCAUUUUAUGGUAGAGACAGCUUAAAUGAAUGAAAAAAAGGAAGUGAAUGUUUGAGAGAUUGACCUGCCUACCAAUUUCUUUGACUAAUUUAGAUGCUUUUUGGAUCGAAAAAUGGAUAGAAUCGAGAUCAUUAACUAUCCUGCUCAUUUCUUCAGUCUAAAAAAUAUGAAAGAGGUAAUAUAUAUUAGUAAUCACUGUGGUAAUACCAAAGAGUAAAACAGUAAAUUCAACCUGAGACCAAAAAUGCCCAUGAACUUUUUUUUGAUGAUUCUUAAUGCUUUGAAUUGAAGUUAAUUUACCUGAGCCUUGAGAGUUGCACCAGUCUCUGUUCCAACAUCAACAGUUUCUUGAACAACCUAUCUUAUAAACCGGGUCAAACAAAAAUAUAAGACUGAAAAUGAAUCAAACUUAAACGAAUUAAUUUAUAUUUAUGUUUGUUUGUUUAUUUUUAAUAUUAUUCGUAUUCGUUUAUUUAGAAUAAUGUGUUCAUAUUCUUUUAUUUAAGUUAAAUGACAUAUUCUUUUAUUUAAGUUAAAUGAAUAUGUUUAUAAACAUUAAUAAAUGAACAUAUAACUUACUUUUUAGAUAUGAAAUAAUAAAAUAUAGAUAUUGAUAAUUAUGUUAUAAAUAAAAAAAUUUACACAAACAAUAACAAUAUUAUUAAUUAUAUAAUAACUGAACAAUGAAUGAACUUUAAAUAAACUUCAAAUGAUUUAUUAAAUGAGUUUUAAAUAAAUUUCUUUGUGAACAUAAAUGUACUGAACAAGCUUUGUUCAUGUUAGAUUCGUUUAAUAAAUGAAUUGUAAAAUUUUGUUCAAAUAUGUUUAUUCAACUUGAUAAACAAACAAAUACCUAAAGGUUGAUGAACUAUAAAUUAAAUUUUCUAUUCAUUUCAUGUUGGAUUCGUUUAAUAAAUGAAUCUUAAAAUAUUAUUAAAAUUUGUUUAUUCAACUUGUUAAAUGAACAAACAUCUAAAUGUUGAUGAAGAAUUAAUAGAAUUUUCUAUCCAUGUACAACUCUAUCCAAAGACAACCAAUUAUUUUGAAGUAGAUGAAGUAUAUGUUAACAAAAUCUUAUGCACGGAAAGUACUGAUACUAACCUUCUUAGCCCUGUUAAUGGCUUGAUCAGUCUCAUCCAUCAUUUGGUAUCCUUUAUCCAUUAGCUGCUGGUUUGUCAUAUCUGCAAAACAUACAGGCCCUGUCUCAUUAACAGUUUAAAAUUGAAGUACUUACACAUUAUUUCCAGUCAACAUUUCAUCAUCAUCCCAAAAAUCAAUAUCAAAGGGGUGAGAACGAAUAUGGAGAGUGCAUCAACAGUAAAACAAAGAUUAUAAAACAUGUUUUAGCAGUUAGAUAAACUCUGAUCAACACUCUUAUAGUUAUAAAUAUAGCAUUGUGUACACUUCCAUUAAGUAACAUAAAAAGUACAAUUAUAAACAGGUUGACCGUUUUCUUUAAGGUGCAAAAAAAUGUUGAACCAAAUGAUCAGAGUUUUUUUUAUCAACCUUUUCAUCCCUUGUGAUAUUGAGUGUGUUAGACAACUCAUAUUCUAGCUAUAGCAUAAAAUUAGGUAAAAAAAACCUCUCCAGUCCCUCUCAAUUUUGAUAUUGAGCAAAUUGGCCCCUCUCAAAAAAAUCAAAGCAAUUUAAUCCCUGUUAAUUUCAAAAGUUAGCAAUUAAGGACAAUUAGUCUCAAGGUUAAUGUUUUCCGUCAAUUGUAAAUAAUUUUGAUUGGUAUAAUAACAAAUUUAGCUUUCAAAGUUUAAACAUUCUAUCAAUGUGGUCCCAAUUUAACAAAUUUAGCUUGCAAUAUUUGUGUAAAUGUGUAAAUGUUGAGGCUAAAUUUGUUGAAUUUUUUAGAAGCAAUACCAAAUUGAAAAAACAUGUAACAUUAAGCACUAAAUUUGUUGUUAUACCAAUCAAAAUUAUGUACAAUUGACAAAAGACAUUAACACCAUGAUUAAUUGUCCUUAGUUGUUUACUUUCAAAAUUGAUAGGGAUUAAAUUGCUCUGAUUUUUAGAGAGACCAAUUUGCUCAAUUUCAAAAUUGAGAGGGACUGGAGAUGUUUUUUACCCUCAAAAUUACUACAAACAAUUACUGAGAAUUGUUAUGUCUACGCUUCAAAAGAAAAAGCAAAAGAGACUAUUUUGUGCAAGUGAGUUCUGCAUCUUCAUAGAUUGUUGACACCACAAGCAAACACUGAUUAGGAAAGAACUACAUCUACCUAUAUUACUAUUUGAACAGAAAAUUUCAACUUGUGCUUCGAAAUAAAAAAAAUACAAAAAAUCAGCUGAAAUAAUAAUAUUAAAAGAAGCUGAUAGACUUACUGGAAGCUAGCAUGUCAUUAUCUUCACUAAAGCCUUCAUUAGGCCCAUCAAAGAGAUCAACUCGUUUAUUACUCUCAAGGUUGCUUUGAUAUCUGUAACACAAGAACAACAACAUCAAAUAAAGUCAAGUAAUAUAUCAAAUACCAACAAAGUUAUUAUUUCAUAAUAAAUGUCUUUUCUUUACAAAUUACAGAUUUUCAAUCAAUAAAAUUUAGUUCAAUGGCACCAGAUCAUAAGGUUUGAUCAGUAAAAGUAUCAUGGGGCCCUUUUAUUAGUAGUUGAAUUGCAUUUUGUUCUCUCUAUUAAAAAAAAUAGGCUAAUUAGUCCCUAUACAUGUAAACUGAUCUUUCUGUUAAACAUUUCAUCAAUUUCUAUUGUUAAAAAAUAGUCUUUGUAUGCUAAAAUGAGGUACACGUGGCAUACCACGUAUAACUAUUUGGUUAUUUUAUCAGUAAUGCCACUUUUUAACCUGUAGAAAUUGAUGAAUUUUUUAACAGAAAGCACCAAUUUGGGCUUAAAUCUAACAUACAAUGACUAAUUUGUCCCUUUUUAUGUAAAGGGGUAAAAUGCAAUUUGAUUCCUAGUGCAGGGACCUCCAUAGUAUUUUUACCAAGACUGAUCAAAGGAAAUGGUUAAAGGAAAACGAACAGCGAAUAGGAGAUGGGAUGAGGGGUUCUUAACUCUGAAAAAUAGAUAGCUCUGUCCAUAAUAUUAUAAAUUAUAUAACUAGUUAGAACAUGAACAUGCAUGAAUUAAUCUUGUCGAUACGGAUUACAGACUUACCGUUUCUUAAGGGCAACAUAUGAAUUCAACUCCUUGACCUGCAUAAAAACCCCGUAAGUUUGAGAAAACUUAGAACACAAGAUACUCAGCCAAUAAACCGUAGGAUUUAAAUAUAAGAACAACAAAAAUAAAUAGAACUUAAAAAGUUAUAAAGCACCAUUGAUUGCUUCUUUUCGCUCAGCAUUCUAUGGGUGUUUGCAUUAGUUCUUCUCUCCAUUGCCUUUACUUCUCUAUCAAACUCUUUGAUUAGCCUGAAAGAAUAAGUAGAUCACCACAGCAGAAUAUAUUUAAAGGUAAUGCGAAUACUUACUCUUGCGGAAACAAUUUAAUGACAUACAACGCUGGUUUUAAGUUAGAUUUUUGUUCUUUAUAAAGUGAAUAACCAAAGCAUUAUAAUUCCAGCAGCUUAUUUAAACAAAAGUACAUUAUAAUUUCAAAGAAUCAAAAGUAUAGAUAAUACUCAAAAGAAGUAUGGAUCUGAAGUUACCUCUUACACUCUCGCAUCUUGCCGGUAAGCUCUUCCAAUUGCCUGCUCUGUCGAUUAACAUCCUUAAUCUUAUCCAGUUUCUGGAACCCAUUCCUGUUAAACAAUGUAGAAACCAGAAAUGCAAGUUUAUAAACAUUCAAUCGUAAAUGAUGAUAAAAUUUACAUUGAACAAUCUGAUUAGAAUCUACAUUGUCAUUACAUAACUAAAAGAAGAUCAGAAAUUAAAUUCUUACGAUAAUGCUCGAAAAAUAUCGGCGAUUUGUCCGUCGAUCUCCGCUAGCUCUUCGCUAACCGCGGAUAAUGAAUCCAUCUCUCAACCUUUUGUCUCUCAACUUCAAUUCAGUCUAAAUAAAUGAGUACAAAUUUAAAUAAUUUUUUAGCUGACGAUUUCAAAAACACACGAUCGCGCCAAACCAGAAACAGGAAAUAAAUUCAAAUUUCUAAAGCAGAUCUGUUCAUUUCAGCGCCAAUGGAAUCGUAAAUUCUACUAACAAAACUUCAUUUAGUGGCGAAGCUUCAAUUCACCGAUCGAAAAGCAAACAACAUUGAUCUUGAGCGUCUAAAGUUUUCAAAAGAAAAUUUACAAAAUUUUAAAUCCAAGUCAUGGAUCUGGAUCUAAAAGAGUCGAUCAUACAGAGUCUUCUCAUGAUUUAAAGAUCAUUUUGGAUUAUUUUUUUUUUUUGAAAUUACGUUAUGUUUUUUUUUUCUUUUAAAUUUAGGAUUUAGUUGGUCGUUUUGGAGGGGAGAGGGGUUUUAGGGUGGGAAGGUAUAAAACCUCCCGGUAAUUUGGGACGUUUAAAACCGAAAUAAGGAACACUGAAGUGGGGGCCCACCAUGAAUGCGCGCUAUUGUUUUUUAUUUAAACGGUCAUAGCGUACGAUCCGAUAAUAUUGUCCGUUGGAUAGUCAUGUUUCUGGAACUGGUGGACAGAUCGGAUUAUCAAUUUUUAAUUCCGUCGAUUUGUCUACUUUAGUUAGUUUUAUCAAUUUACGGGUCAAUUGAUUUUAUAUUUUUUAUUAUAUUAAUACUAUAGUUAUGCUCUGAUUAGCUGUUACGGUCUAAUUCAAACAUGUUCUUAAAAGGUCCAACCUUCUUAAAAUAAUUUUUUUAAACGAUAAAAUUAAAAUUAAAAUUAUAAAUAUAUAAAUUAUUAAAAUGAUAAAAUUACAUCUUUACUAUUAUAAAAAAUAUACAACUUAAUUUUAUCUCUAUUUUUUUUUCCUUCAUCCUUGAUGGUUGAAUAGAGAGAUAUAAUUUAACUUUCUUUAAAAGAAUAAUAAACUACAAAAAUAGUUACUCAAAUUUUAACAUGUUACUAUUUUGAUUACUAUUUCUUUUAAUUUAAUCACUCCUAUUAGAUCACUUGCAAAUUACGACUUAUAAUCACUCUACCAUAAAAAUACAUCUAAUCAUUAAACAAAAUACUAACGUGAUUAUCUUUUUAUUGGUAAAUUUAACAUUCAACAUUUUACACACCUUAUCAAUUUAGUCAUCAAUUUAAUCAAGAUUCUAAAUUUUUUUAAUAAACUUAACUCUUAACAUAUAAAAUAUUUACAUAUUUUAUCAAUUUAAUCAUAAUCUUAAAAAUUAAAAAAAAUUAUAAUCAAAAUAACAACGCAUUAAAACAAAUGAUACAUUUGAAUCCGUUAGGUGUAUUUUGAAAAAUACGAUCGGAUAAUAUUGUCCGUUGGAUAAAAGUAUGAAUUAUGAUUUUGUUUUUGUUUUUAAAGAUUAAUGGUACAUGUUCUAAUUGAAUCUUUAAACUUCACAAAUUUAAAAUUUAAUCCCUAUAUUUUUAUUUCCAAAAAAUUAAUCUCUUUACUUUGAAAUUUUCAAAAACAUUAAUACUGUUAAUUCUUUUUUGUUAAAUUUUUUAAUGUAACAUUUUGAAAUAAAAAAAAUACCCACCAACUUAAAAAUUAAUGUUAUAAUAAACCUAAAUUUAACAGUGUUAACAGUUAAAAUUAAAUUUUGAAAUCUUUGAAAUCUAAAAAAUAAAGAGACUCAAAUUGGGACUAAAUUCUAAAUUCUCAUAACAUAUUUUAAUCUAAAAUGUGAAACAAGUAGAGGAAAUGUACAGGGAAAUCCCCUCACAGUUAUCCAUUGAACUUCAAUUUUCAAAUGAAACAAGUAGAUGAACUAAAUUACUGUAAAAUAAAAGUAGAGGAAAUGUAUUUAAAAAAAUCCGAAAACUAAUGGAAAUAAAAGCAGAACGAAAUUUCAAAAAUCUGAAAUGUACAGGGACUAAAAUAUAUUUGAACAUGAUAAAAAAAAUGCAACGGUGAGCUGAACCAAAAGGAAAAUUGAUAGUUACUCUACCAAGAAAGAAUUCUGAUGAAGAAAUUGAAAAUUUAACAAUUGAAAUAUAUAGUAAUUCGUUUAAAAAAAAAACAUCAAAUAAAAAGGACCUAAAAACAUGAUAUGAUUACCUGAAAGACUGCAGAACUAUACCUGAUCUCAUUCAAAAGCAUUGCUUCCAAAAUAGAUGAUUAGGGCAAAUGGCAAUACAACUGAUGAAGAACUAUUUUUGCCCCAAAAGAGAGCUUUAAUUCCGACAUUAUAUCACGGUUUGUGGAUCUUGAACCCGAAUACUCUUGGUACGUAGCUUUGAGUUGCCUUUUGUGGCUUCAGAUGUUGGUAUGUCAUCAAGAACAGGCUUGGAAAUGUUGUCCCGAAAUAGGCACCGUCAGUGUCUAGUUAGAAUUAAGGUAACUAAAAUGCAGGAACUAUAAGGAAUGUUGAAAACUAUAGAUGGAUAAACGAUUCGUAACAAUUCGUGGUUGGAAGUAAGUGGUAGUUGAAUUUUCCCUAAGCAUUUGGACUAAGUUCAAAUCCUAAAGUCAUUACAAUUAGAAGGGCUUUACCUAAAUACCACUCAACCCGAACAAAAUUGUUCUCAAGCUGUAAAACGGAUUAGAAAAGUUGUGGUAAACAAUAGUUGGAUAACAUGGCAUGCUUGUUAUUUGUCCCCCCUUGACUUCUUCCUCAAGCAUUUGGACUGAGUUCAAAUCCUAGAGUCAUUACUAUUAAAAUGGCUUUGCCUGAAUACCAACCAGAACGAAAAGAAAUAUUCUCAGAUUGUAAAAAAGGAUGAGAACAUGAGAACAUAUGUGAUUAUACAAAAACAAUAGAUUGAUAACAUGGCCUGCAUAUUAUUUGUUUUCCCCCACAAAAUGCAUGCAACAAGUAAUAGCAAAUAAGUUCAAUGGCUAAAAGGAUACUGCCUUGGUACUUGGAGCGAGGGUAGAAGAUAUCUUCGCAUCGAGGGCAGUAUAUUUUUACGGUGCUUGAUCGAGGAAUAUCUGAUUGACCGACUGGAAGACAUGGUUGUCCGCAGCAGUAAACUCUAGGGCAUCUUCCAAAAUCGUAGUUCUUAUACUUGUCCAGCUGAAAAAGUUAAAAAACAUAUAUAUAUACAUUGUUGUAAUCAGUUGCUCAAAUUACACACACAUGUAUAAAUGUAUGAAAUCAUAGUUCACAGCGAGUAUCUCACCAUAGCGGCAAUCCCUUUGCCUGUCAAAAUGUAUCGAGAAUGAAUCAGACCAUAAAGCAUCUCUGCCGCAGAUUCAACUAAUUCAUUUUGCUCCUCCGUAAACAUAUCUCCUACCAAUUUCAGUUUAACGUGAAUUUUCUCAUUGCAAGAAACUAAAAGAUAGAAACUAGCCAUGUUGCUAAAUGACAUAAAUAAUGGGUUCGCCAUCAUCAAGAUUCAAAAGCAAGUAUUAGAAGGAAGGGACAGAUUUUCACACAUCCGGAGAACUUGAUAUGAGAAGAAACAAACCAUAAGCUUACCGUGAGAAGAUUCAACAUCCAAAAUCAAAUCAAGAGCAUAAUCAUAGUAAGGAACUUGGCUACUUAGCCCACAAAGGUUAAAAUCAUCUUGUAUGUAGUCAUCAUCAACUUCGCAAAAGAAUUCAUUUCCACGUAGAUUGCAAAACCAUGAGAUCCAAGAUGUGUCAUCCCCGUCGGAACCACUAACAUCCGACUCUUCACUGUCAGUUUCAGAUUCAUCUGCAGUAAAUGAAAUCCAAAUUCGUAUCAGCAUAUGUCACUAAAGCAUCACCACCACACACCAAAAGGUAACAACCGUCACUUUGAAAACAUGGUUCAUAGACGAGUAAUCAUUGGACGAACAAUAGUGAAUUUAAAUCGUACAAAGAUGAAUAUAUAGAGGUUUACAAAACAUAUAUGCCUUUUGACUUCAUUUGAUACUGAAAAAUGUGGGAAAAUACAAAAGGCUAAGACAAACUUAGUUUCGAAGCUGACAGAUUGUUCGAGGCCGUAAACCUAGACAUUGAGCAAAACUUAUUCAUACAAAUACAAGGUUUGGCCAAUCAUGUUGCUCAAACUCUUCAUUUUUCAUGUGUCCAACAAACAGAUGUAAGGAUAUGAACUCCAAGAUCCUUCAAAUACAUGGAAAAACUUAAAAAAAUUAACCAUACCCGUGUCAGAUACAGUUAUGUAUCCGACACUCACACCCGAGUCCCAGUAACGUAGUUGGCCAAUACCCUUAUAAACUACCCCCAAACCCCUCCACACACAAACACAUUUCCCCAAAAGCCAGACCGACGUUAACUGAAGACUCGAGUACAAGUCAUUUGCCACUCUACUUAUGCUUCAAUCGGUUAUUUUUCCCUCAAUUACAGAUAGGGAAAGAACACCUAGUUGAAAGUUAAGUGCUAUUGUGAGCAAUGUAAACAUAAAUCUUUAAGCUUUCUUAUCUAUUUUUCUCACUCUUUUCUCAAAUGCAAGCAUCAAAACAUAAGCAUUAUAAUUUGUUAACAAAAUUCAUAUUAAUAACAAUAAAAUUUCAUAAUUUCAUCAAUAUCCAGUUUCAAUUACGUAAAUUCAAAAUUUACUAAAGCUAGACAUAAAAUCAAAUAAUGAUAACAAAAAAAAACCCCUAAAUUUCUCGUAAGUUCUUCAAAACAAUCCAAAAUUUUUAUAAACUAAAAAUCCUAAAAUCAUCAAAACAUGGAUAUGUGGUUAUGUUUAUAGUUUAUACCACCGGAGGCGUUCGCUUUAGGUAGAGAAGCAGAACAAGAGUCACGGUAAUGAUCAGGUGGAUGCUUCCCCAUUUGAAGGGACUGCGAUGACUUAUCCUUUCCGUUGAUUGCUCUCGAUGUUGACGGCGACGAUCGUUCCAGUUGCUUAUCAAGCGCUUCGUUGAUCCGUUUCCGAUCCACCGAACCUACCUCCCCUUUGGAACCACCGGCUGUUCUCUCUCCUCGGUACAUAUCUUUUCUUCUCUUAUUUUUCCGUUGAAAUGAACCGCUCCCGUUAUCGCCGAUUCAUAGCGUGGAAUGACGAUAAUGACCCUAUCUCCCCUAAAUCUAGGGUUUUCUCUCCUUUUUUUUUCCUUUCUUUUUGUUUCUGCUUUAAUUUUAAUGGAGCUAUUUGCUUUAAGUUAACCCAUUAUUAUUUAUUUUUAUUUAUUUAUUUUAUAUUUGGAUUUUAUUGGAACAGUUGAUUUUUUUGCUGGAUUUUUAUGGAGGAAGAAACAGAGGAGAUAGAGAGAGAAAGGAGGGGAAUUCUUAGAGAGAGUAUAGAGGGUUAAAAUCGGUAGAGAAUUCUUAGGUUCCGGCGAUUUGGCCGAUAAAUCGGCGGGUUAUAGCUUUGGUUUUGUAUUUAAGGGGCGGGGGGCAUUUAUUGUGUAUGAUUCAUCCUACAUUCUUUAUAUUACUGAUCUACACGUGGCGCUUGAUCAGCAACUCUCAUGUUACUGAUUUUUUUCCGGCAAUUAGGUUAACUUUGAUAUUUGAACUUAAGAAUUAGAUUUAUUUUGAUCACUCAACUUAGAAAAAAUAAAAAUAUGAUGAUGUUUCAUUCUGAGAUAGUGCCACGUUAUUACUUAAAAAAUAAAAAAUUUAGAUAAAUUUAUAGGUGAGUAUGACAUUUAAUGUUUUAAUAAUCAAGCAAUAGUUGAACAUGUCAGACAAUCGGUUCUUAAUUUAACUAGUUCAAUCAGUUUGACUAUCGAACUAACAAUAAUUAAAUAAUUAAUUAAAAAAUCAUAAAAAAAAAAUUAAACUGAUUCAACCUAUUCAAUUUUUUAUUUUUGUCUCAAUUUUCUAUUUUUAUCAAUUUUAAGCAGCUUAUGAGUUAAUCAAUUCAAUCCUUUUAUUAUGACCAUUAUAUCUAUUAGUUCUCGAUUUGUCCGAUUCGGUUUUACUUUAGUAACACUGAUCAGAUCAUCAAAUCUUGAUAAAAUCUAAGUUCAGGGACAAAAAUGAAUUUAGUUGUCAAGUUCAAUGACCAAAUUAGAUAAAAAAAAAGUAUAAGUAAGGGGUGAUUCUUUUGGGAGAAGUAUUUGAAGUGUCUUUCUCCGAACAUUUGGCCUAACAUCCAACAGAUUGGUAUUGUCCUUGGGUCAUGCUAUGUAUAGUUCACAAAGGGGAAGCGUAUCGAGGUAAUAGAUUAUUCGUGGGCACACAAACACCCACCAAAGAGAAGUGAGUGUUUUCGCUCUUCGUAAAGUCUCGACGAAAACAAAAGACAAAAUCUCAAUAUGACCCGAGGACGAUAUUAAUCAUUAUUAGAGUUUGACCAAAAGCUUCUCUCGAAGAAUUCAACCCUACAAUAAUCCUUAAUGCUUUACUUUCAUAUUUUGAUUCUUGUUUCUUGAAAUCAAUGAUUCUCCCAAGACGCAAACAAAGGUUUGAGUAACUCACUUUCGUGUGUUGGUUUAGUAUCUUUCAAAAAAUGCAAGAAGGCUUGGCGUUGGCAUUAUUUAGUUAAAUUGUCUCAUAGAGAACAUGUUCAUUCAAUUUGAAGUGUCAAAUCCAAAGCUAAGAUUUAUCAUUUUAUGUUCCCACCUUUUUAGAAGCCAAUGUUUGAAUCCAUUGACCCACAAGCAAUAAUGUCCACUAAAGAGUUUCAAGUUCUCCCAUGUGAGCUAAGCUAGUCUUAAAGAUAAACUUUGUCUUGUGUAUUCAUAGAAAAAACACCACAUGAUGCAAAAGCCUUUUGUUCACCUUGCAAUUUGAGCAUUCUAUUUUGGCUACUUCAAUAGAUGCUUCUAAUGCUUCAAAAUCAUAACAUUUCAUGUUGAGGUACUUUUGUUUUUUUGUUUAAUUUAUACUUAUUCAUGGGUCAGGUCAUCACUUGAAAAAUAAAAGAGUUUGGACAAAAAUACGAUGCCUGAAAAAUGAGUUUAAGUAAAAUAAUUACAUAUGUUAAAUAAUAAUUAUAUAUAUAUAUUUAUAUAUUUAUACUUAUAUUAAAUUACUAACCCAAUAACAAUUAAGUCCAUUACUCAAAACUUUUAAAAAAAUUCUACUAAAUAACCCAACCCAAAAUAUAAAAUUUUAAAAAUUAUAUUUAAUACAAUAAAACAUGUAUUAUAUUUAUAAUAGUGUUUUUUUUAUAUAAAUACUUUUUAAUGUAUUUUAAUGUGUUAGAAAACUUUUAUUUAAUACUUUUUAGUGUAUUAUAUUUUUUAAAAUUUUAUUUUUAAAUAAAAAUUAAUCUAAAAAAAUUAAAUAUGGACGAGUUCAAAUUUACCUUUUUUUAAAUUAAUUUGGGCUUGGAUAAAAAAAUAAACUAAUUUUACAGCUCGAGUCGAACUUAAACUUAAAAAAUUAAUCUAAAUACUUUAUCUAGCUUAGUUCAUAAGCACCUCUAGUAAAGUUGGGUCGUGCUUGUUGGUCUCUUGCGAUACGUGGACUUCUGUAUCAAGUUUUUUAAACCAUAGGCCUGGGUCUCUGUGCUUGUAUUGUCAUACUAGAGUUAUUCCUUUCUUUAGUGUAGAUGCGUUCUUUUAUUAACUACAUGCAGUCAAGUUCAGAACUCCGCAAGGGCUAUCAUUCUCCUUCAAUAUUUGCCACUGUUCAAACUUGAAGCUCAAGGACCUGAGGAGGAGGAGGAGGAGCUUGUGCUGGGAUAUUAUGGUUAUGCUGCGCAAUGGCUUGAAUUGUUAUAGCAAACAAUCGAAGAAAGCCUAUAAAUUGAUGGAAUAGUUUAUUGUGCCAAGGAACUGUGACUACGAUGAAUAAAUAGGUAACCAAGAAGAGUGAAGAGGGAAGAAAGAUUGAGGCAAGGAGAGAAAUGAAAAAGGCAAUGGAAAACCCUGGAGCUGUCAAGCUGAUAGGAUGGGGAGUGAGAGGGAUUUCAACAGAGAAGUAGAGGAAGAUUCCCAUUAACAUAAUGGCAACAAACAAGGCAAAGAAGACAAGUAUAGAGGUGGAAACUGGUAGGGAAUCAGAAAGUAAAUCAAAUGCAGAGUCGUUUUCGGAUGCUACCAAUAGAAACCGGAUUACAUUCACCAAUGGAGGGAUUGCAUACCUCAAAUCAAUCAGGAUCUGCAUUUUUUUUUUCUUUUUCUUUGUGGCUUUUAAGGAAUUCUGGGAAUUGAGCAGGGGGCUAGGGACACUUAUAUACAACAGUGAAAGUCAAAAGGAGGAAGAACUGGUAUGGAACACUGGAAUGGAAAAUGUAUAGCUAAAGUUAAAGAAAUAGAAAAUAAUGUUCAUAAACCGAACAACGCUGCAUUGUUUCAAUCGCUGAAUCCUUUUUUUCUGCAUUGAACUCAAUUUAGUGUUACCCACCCAUCAGUGCAUGUAUCCGAUUCUUGUUUUAUAUAUUGAAAAAUUAAUUAAAUUAGGAAUUUGUGUAACAAAAUAUAAAUUAAGAGGUAUAAAUUACUAUCCAUAGGUAAAUGAAAAAAUAUGGGGACUAAUUGUAUAAUUUAACUUAAAAUUUUUGUUUGAAAUGGUGAUUUAACAUGCCAGAUCAUCUUACCAUUACACCGUUAACGAAAAUUAACGGCUCAAUAACUAAAAUAUUAAAACAUGUUAACGUAAGUGAUUAAAACGUAACAUUUCAAACAUAAAUGACUAAAAUUUAACUUGAAGGAAACAAAAGUGAAUAUUUUAAUAGUUUACCUUAUAUAUAAUAGUAACCAUUAUAAUAUAAUUUCUUAUAAUUCUUAAAUAGUUUUCUAUAAUAAUUCAUUAUAUUAGUGAAUUGCAUUCGAAGUUAUUUACACGAUAGAUUACUAAGAAAUUUAAACUUUCAAUAAUCUUAUCUUAUAAAGUUACUCUGAUAAAAAAACAACUUACUAGAGUAUCUACAUUUUCACCAAACUUCAUAUAGAGGAGCUUUGAAAAUUCUAAAUACUAAGCAAGAUGGGUCAAAGUGACCCCAAAUCAUAAGAGCGACUUAGUCCAUUAGUUCACACCUUGGUCACAAGUUUUUGUGCUCGGCCUAUGACAUUUUCCCCCAACUGUUCUAGCAACAUUUCCAUUGCUUUCUUAAAAUAAUAUCAAUCCAUCUCAUCUCGGAACUGCCACAAUACCUCGGCUAAUUCCUAACUAAUCUUGCUAUUGGAUAGUUCCCUCAGCUUAUAAUUUUUCUGUUGAAUAAUUUGAUUUGUCUCUCCACGCUAUACAUCUCAAUACCUCAUUACAACUUGUCCCGAUUGAGAUCCCCUGAUUCUCACGAAAAGACUUGAGCACACUUACGUUGAACACUAGGUGGACUUUUAAGUAUUGUUUACAACUCUGGCUUGCAGACUACCUUACCUAUUAGCUGUUAGUUGUGUGUAACCUACAACAAACAAAUGUGAUAAGUCACACUAUAACACUCUCAAGUGCCUUCCUUUUAACAUAUCUACUCUAUUCGAUUGUCCAUUUUGCAUAUAACACUUCUUUGCCCACCAAGGUUAAUGCACAAUUCAAAAAGUUCAUUGCUAGACAUUGGCAGAAACCUUUGGACUUGGAGAUGAAUGGUUUUGAGUGAUUGGCUAAAAGGUUAAUUUAAUUAGUCAAAUCUAUUUUAACAACAGAACAUACAAAGUCAAACACGACCAUAACUAUUUCAGUUCGCGUAGCUGAGUUUGGGAGUCAAUGAGCGAGAAUCGUGGGACAUGUCUAACUUUGUAUUAACUUGUCGGUGAUAGGAUAAUAUAUUAAAAACGUAAAUUGUAUUUAAGUAGUUCAAUAUUUUUUAUUUGUUAAAGUUUUAUGUUAUAACUAAAAAUAAAAUUGUUCUUAGAGAUUAAAUUGUCAACAGAAGUUCAGUAUCAUUUUCUUUCUUAAAUUUAGAACAGUUUUAAUUACACAAUUAUUUUAUAACUUCAAAAUUUUUUAUUUUUAUUUUAGAUUUAUAUUUAAUAUACAAAAACAAUGCAUCAAUCUAGUGUUUCCAAAAUCGGAUUUAUGAUUGAAUAAAAAAAUCCAAUUCAAUCUAUCCGUAUAUGUUCGUUGUCACUAUUCUUCUCCGAUGGAGUUCAAACAUUAUUAAAAACCAUAUAAAGACAAGUACGUAAUUGAACGAUCAUAUACUAGUUUAAGGGGGUUUUUUUUCUUUAAUAUAUUUGCUAUUUAGUCCUUUCUUAGAAUUACAAGCAGUAUUAGUUAGUAUUCUAGCAAUCCACCCCCAAAUAAACACAAAAUCUAAUUCUGAAACUGAUACUGCAUUACCACAGAUCAAUAUGAUUAAAAAUGGAGAAAACCUUAAACUAAAAAAAAAGGUUAAAUGAGAAUGGCCUAUACAAUCAACUAUUUUUUAAGCUACUACCCUUUACAAACAUUAUAAGCUUUAAGCCUUGUACCAAAAACUAGGCAAUAUCUUCACAUAAUGACAGCUCAAUUUCAACAAAUCAUGCCACCAAAAUAAAUAAAAAAAAGUGUGUUUCAAAUUCAACCAAAUGCAUGAACCACCACAUACAAAUCAAGUGGCAACUUCAUCUACUUCAGAAUUGAAAACAAAGCUUGGGAAUGUUGUUGUUAUGUCCCUGCAUAGUUGAUGUUACACCAUGGGUGAGUAAAGGUUUUUUUUUUUUUUUUUCCAAGUAAAGGUGAUUACGAGACGGGUAACGCGUACCUGAGGUAUGGGAGGGUCAUGAUUUUCAACAAGGAUGGAUUACGAGAGACGAAGUUUUGCCAUUCUGAUAUGUCUAUCUUCCCAUCCUGAUUAAUAUCGGCUUCCAAGAAUGUCUGUUCACAAUUCCCAAGAAAGAGUUAAGAAACAAUGCCUCAAAUCAACAGUCACAUGAAACCAGGUAAUUUACAAUCUUGGUGGCAUUAACUGUCAUAAAAUCUUAAUUUCAUCAAACUACAUCACUGAACUGAAGUCACUUACGAGCACUUCGUUAAGUAAUUCUAAUGGAAAAGUUUAUUCCCAUUACACAUGACACUAUGAAAUCCCAAAAUCGAUUCUAUUUAGAAAAUAAGUCACGCACGCAUGCCUUACGUAGUGAGCACAAGUAACCUAAUUAGCUAAUAGUAAAAGUUCAACAAUAUAAUUUAAUGAAAUGGAAUAUUUAUGGUUUACAUGAAAGUGGUGUUAAGUUCAGUAACACAAAAUGUAAAUAAUCCCAUGAAACCAUCUAACUGAUGGUGUUCAUAUAAAGAUAUUGUCGAUAGUGUAAUAAUUCCGGGCAAUCAAUAGGUUAGCCAACUACUAAUUCAAUAAGAUUUGCCGGCAGGAUCAAUUUUCUUCUCAAUAGUUUCAUAAACACUUAUUUUACACAACAAGCUCUCACCUUAUCAAGUAUUGCCUCGAUGGUUUCAUCAGCUAACUUCAUUUCAGAUUCGCAUAAAAGAGCAAUCAGCAUUUGCUUGACCUGUGCCAAAAUCACAUAAACCAUGUUUGUAUGAAAAAUAUAACUGAAUGAAAAAGUAAAUCCAUGUAAUAGCAUGAUAUUUAAACAACAAACAUAUCAAUCCCAACAUACCUCAUGACGCUCUAUAAAACCAGUUCCAUCCAUGUCAUAAAGUUUAAAUGUAACUGCAAUUUAAAACCAUUAAGUUUAAAAAGAGAAGGAAGAUUAAACAACUUGUGUAAUUCGAGAUAAUUAUAUCAACUGUUUACUUACAAUCUAUUUUAUCCUCUUGUGAGGCAUUUGGAUGGAAGACAUUGAGUGCUCGAACAAAGUCACCAAAAUCAAUGAUUCCCUUCUUCUUGGCGUCAAAUAAAUCGAAAAUCUACAUUGUAUUAGAAGGUUGGAUGAAUAUAAAAGGAACAUUCCCAUCAAAGAAAUUUUAGACAAAACAAGUGAAACCUCAACCUUUAAGUGAUAUUGAAUUUCUUACAUAACAAUAAAAAGAAGAAACUACUUUACCCGAUUUGCAAAAAUGUUUUCCUUCUUCCUAUUCUUAAACAGCGCUAAUUGAAAUUCUUCCUGUAUAUACAACAAUAGAUGAGCGUUAAAUUGGACACACAAAUGUUCAAUUUUGACAGAGAAGGAAUAAUGAGAAAAAAAAUAAACAAAUCCCCUCGUAGUUAGAAAGUGGGAGGGACGAGGACAAAUAACGGAAAUAUAAACGAGAUGCAACUCCAAUUCUUUUCAAAAUGGAGAGAUCUUUAAAUAGCAAAGUCAAUGAGAAAAUGCAAAACAACUCAAAAUCACACAGGCUGCCAUGAUCCACACCACCUUGCAAGGCAUUACCGAUUAGGCCACAUAGUUUUAUCCACAAAAGGCACUUCAUAAGUUAAAGUUAUAGGUAUUGUGAGCACUUAUAUCUCAAAACCAACUCUAGUACACGAGAAAUAUGAGAUUCACGGUCCCUCUCUAGGACUAUGAAUCCUCCCCCACUCUAACAAGGACCAACAUCCUCAAUGGCACAUUUCUAAUAGCCAACUUUAAUACCAAAUGCCACGUCCGACAAUAAGCUACAAAGUUUGUUUGCUUCGGCUCAUUGGACCUAAUGGUUUUAUCCAAGACCAAUUCAAGUACACAGCUCAUAUGAAAGUUGAUAGGCACAUGCAUAAGAUGUAAUGAUCCUUAUAACCACAUUAAAGAAAAAGUAAAAGAUCCAUGGUAUUACAAAGGAAUCAUAGAACUGUACCUUGCUAAUCAAACCAUCAUCAACCACAGAACUGCUGAUGCUCUUGAAUAGCUCAAAAAGUGCUUCAACCUCACUAACACUAACUGCAUAUACACAAGAACAAACCAAGUAAUCAAUUUUGCAGCAUAAAAGCAACACAAGGUAAGCAAAUUUCCCUUCAUAAUUGGAAGCAAAAGCAAUGGAACAUCAUUGUUUCAACCCCCAUAAGAACAAUCAAACAAUUGGGUGCAUUCAAUGAAAUAAAGAAAAGUUCAAAUAGUCAACAAACUUACAAGCAGUUUGUGAAGCAAGAGUAACAGGAUCUUCAUACCCAGGAUGUUGCCUUGUUACUUUAGAAUGAAAGCAACCCAUUUACUGGGAAACCUUUUUCUUUUUUUUUUCUUUUUUAAGGAAAGAAAGAAAACUUAAACAAAAAAAGAAGAAGAAGAAGAAGUUCCUAGACUUAAAGCGCCUAGGCUUCACUAUAUUCUUCUGCCUGAAAAAACCAUUUUAAACCUGCAAAUUUCAUUCACAACAUUUAUUAGAAAUCAAAGUAAUUAGCUUUCAAAAAAAAUACAGAUCUCAGUCAAAAAAUUUCAUCGCAAAGAAUAAAAAAUAAAAAAGAAAUAUACAAUUGAAUCAUAAAUCUUAUUCUUACAUUGAAAUCCAAUUCGAUAACUAAUAAAUUAAUUUUCUUUUUAACCUAAGAACCAAUCCAAUUGAUCAAAAGAGAAAACCUUACCCACUUUUUUUAAAAAAAGUAAAUAAAUUUCUGCGAAGUGUCCACCACACACAUACAUCAUUAAAAACAAUUCACCUUUUAUUAUUAUUAAAUCUCUGCAAAGUGUCCACCACGCAUAUAUCAUUUCAAUCUUUGUAAUUUUUCUUUAAAAAAUUAACGAAAACAACUCAAAAAAAUAUAUAUACUUUUAAAAAAAGCAAGAAUUGAGAAACUUACCGACCGGAAAUUUGGCCGGAAAAUUAAAAUCCGUCGCUUAAAAUGAACGACAGAAAAAAAAGGGAAAAAAAAAAGGCGGAGCUUUACAAUCUCUUAACACUUUACAGGAGAAAUGAACUAAUUUGAAAGAGAAUGUGAGAGGGGGGAUUAUAUAGGAAAAGAAACAAAUUAUUGACGGCUUAAUCCGACGGUCGAGAUUUGAUCACAAGAGCAAAAAAGCCUAUUUUUAUGCUUCUCUGUUUCUUUUUUGUUCUUUGUUCUUUUAUAUAAUCAAUGAAUUUCAGUUUUUCUUUUUAGUUGGUCGAAAAUAAAAGGAUUAAUUCUGCUAGACAUCCUUAAAUUAUUACUUAAAUUUUAUAUUAUUUUAAAUAUUUAAAGUUGUUUUAAUUUAGUCCAAAAAAUCAAUCAGGUUCUUCUAUUAACAUAGACGGGGGAUAAAUGCCAAAUCAAAUAUCAAAUUAUAAAUAAAUAUAUACUUGCUACAUUAUAAUGGUCUUUUUUUAAUAUGUUAGAUUUAUGUUGUUUAUUUGAUAAUGUUGAGAAGUGGUUGACUCUUUUUGGAUAAAUCUUCGAAGUAUCAUUUGUUUAGAAUCGAAAAACCCUUAAACGGUUAACAUUGUCCUCGAAUUUGAGAUGAAAGUUUGUCUCCUGACCGUGUUGAGAGCGUGAGUUGAAGUUAGGGUUUAUAGAGUGAGAGCACCUUAUUGGAUCAAGUCAUGCGUGAUGCAUGACCACUUACCAAUGGGAUUUGCACAUCGUGAACUUGACUAGCUUUGAACCUUUGCCCCUUCUAUGGUAUCGACCAAGUGCACAACACACACGUCCCUUAGUAGGUGAUCAUGUGUCCACAUAGUCCAAUCUGACAAGGCAAUCAUGUUCUGUAAGCCUUGCCUCCAGCUCAAAAUUGACUUAUUUAAGGGUCUGUUGGCUCCAGAUGAAAGACUUCUCCAAAAGGAGUUGACCUCCCAUUUACAAAUAGGCGUAUAUAUGUUUACAAUUUGAUUCAUGUGUUUUAAAUAAAAGGCUUAAUUCAUGGUUUGACCCCUAAAUUUAUCCAUUUUGGUAUCUAAAAUUUUUGUUGUCCCAAUUUAGCACCUAAAGUAUCAAUUGCUUCCUAAUUUGUUACAUAAAGUAUGCCUAAAUUAUGAAUAUAAUUUGAGACAAAAAAAAGUUUAAGUACCAAAGUACAAAAAUGGAUAUAAUUCAGGGACUAAACCAUGAAUUUAGCCUAAAUAAAAUUAGUAUGAGCUAAUGAGACAACCUUAUAAUAUUGAUAAUUUGAGGACUCAAUUAAAAUAUUUUAAACUUUAUAGUCUAAUUCAAGAUCUGAACGAUAAUUUAGGGACGUUAGGUGAAAUUAACCCAAAGUAAAAAAAGCAAACCAGUGAAGUUAGAAACUAACGGAAAGGAUCGUAGAAUUAGCUUUAGGUGUGUUUGGGACUUUGUGUAGUUGGUGAAGCCAACAAAUCGGAUUGAGACGCGUUUAACUGCACGUGCAUUUGAACGCGAGUGGUUGAAUUCAUUCUUUGGAAUAUUCCUUAUCCCCUUCGUCUAAACAAAGAAAGUAAUCAAUUACCUUUUCUAGACAGUAAUUUUCAGUUUAUUACACAUUUCUGCUAAUUCAGUUUUAAUUUUUUUCCAAGUAUGUGUCAAUUUCUUCAAAAAAUUAAUUAUUAUAAUUAAAAAGGUUAAUUUACUAUUUCGUACUUGUUUAAUUUAGUACUUGAGUUUAGCUUCAAUAUUUAAAUUGAUACUUAAAUCAAAUGACAUCUUGUGGCCCGAAAAAUAUUUAACACUUAACUUAAGUAAACAAAAUAGGUACUUAGUUGGAACAAGAAAACUCAAGUUCCAAAUUAAACAUUGAAGCUAAACAUAAGUAAUUAAUUCGGAUAAAAAAUAGUGUAUUAACGCUAAUUAAAACAAAGUUAAUUAUACCAAACAUACUCAAACUAUGACUUGGAUCUUAUAUUGGUCUCCGAAUUAAAAAAAAAAUUAAUCAAGUCCUUAAAGUAUUAUAUCAUAUUAAUGAGAUUUUUCUGUCAGCCUAGCAAUUAGCUUAGGUAUUAAAUGUCAACUCUAAUAUGAUGUGGAUCGAAUCAUGAAUAAUUGUGUACCUAUUGCAUGGAUAAUUUUAAUUUAACAUGCUAAAAAAUAAUCAAUUUCAUUUGCCUCAUAUUACGUUUUAGCAAUUUACGUUAUCGUUUUGUUACAAAGUGGUCACUCUGCCUUUAAGCUCUGUUACCUCCCUAACGGCAAUCCUACGUGGCAGUCAAAAUGAGUUUUAAAUGCUGACUUGGAUGUCGAACUGGGACAAAAAUUUUAAUUAAAUAAAUUUAAUUAAUUAAAAAAUUUAAAUUAAUUACAUCUUGAGCUGGAGAAGAAAACCGUUCGUCUCAUUUUUCUUUUAGUUUUCUUUUCCAUUUUGACUGAAAAAAUUCUUCUUAUCCCAGUUGGAAUUCAAGUUGGCAUUUAAAACUCAUUUCGACUGCCACAUAGGAUUGUCGUUAGGGGGGUAACAGAACUUAACGGCAUAGUGACUACUUCGUAACAAAAUAAUAUUUCAAACAUAAGUGGCUAAAAUGUAAUUUAAGAUAAAUAAAAUUGACUAUUUUUAUAGUUUACCCUUUUUUUUCAAUACUUUAGAUUCAAAAUCUCCAUUUAAUUAAUACGUUUUAAAUAUGUUAAUGUCAAAUUCAAAUCGACAUUUAGUACUUCUAAUUGAUACAAUACUGAUAUUUUAACUGAACUAUAAUAUUUUGAAUUUUAAGGACUAAUUUAAAAUUUAGACAAUGAUUUGAGAGUGUUUGUGAAUUAACCCUAUAAAAAUUGUUAAAGCUAAUAACCCAAUAAAAAAGUGUUAGUUAAUUAUUAAAAAAAAAUUGCUUAUUGAGGAUAAACCCAACAAGAAGUUGGCAUCUUUCGCUUUUAUUUAUUUGUUCAACUUUUAUGAAAUGUAAUAAAGAAGGAAUGGAAGUGGCAUAGGAAAAAUAAAAGUUUUAUUCCAAAUUUAAACUUUUCUAUGAAAAAGAAACCGACAAUAAUAGUAAAAUUAUAUUAAUUAGUACAAGCAUUUAUGACCACUUAUCAAUUUUGUCCCCUCAUGUUUAUAAUUAUUGCAACAAAGCUAGGCAAUUAGUUUGAUUGGUUAAGAUAAAAGAGAUUUUCAUCUCAACCACUAAUUACGUGAUAAUUUAUAACUAAGGUUACUAAACUGUCAAUAAAUUUAUGUUUUAGUCACUUAAUUUUAAAAAGUUACAAAAUAGUCAUUGAAUUAUUCGAAAGUUUCCACCUAAGUCAUUAGUUGUUAAAACUGCAGUUGUAUGGCUUUCUUUGUUCACACUCUUACGAAAGCUUUCAUUCAACAUCUCUUCUACUGUUCAGUUUUUUUCAUGAAACAAAUUUAAUGUCACGAAAUUACGAAUCAAAAUCUAAAUAACUUUCUUCUCUAAUAUCAAGCGCUGGCCGUUAGAUCAACUUGGAUCUAAGGUAUGUUAUUCUACUUGCUGAUAGAUACGAAUCCAUCGUAUUGAUCAUCGAAUUAUCACUUGGAGUUAGUUAGUUGGACUUAAAAAAAAAACUUAACAACCCAGUGACUUAAAUGAAAACUUUCGAAUGGUUUGAUGACUAUUUUGUAAGUUUUUAAAAUUGAAUAACCAAAACAUAAACUUACUAAUGGUUUAGUGACAUUGGGUGUAGUAUACCUUUAUAAUUAAUAGUUUGAUUAAGUUAAUAUCAUUUAUCGUUCCAAUUUAAUUGUAAAUGUAUCAUAAGCUCUCGUGUCUUUUACAAAGCAACAAAUAUUAUUUUGAGGAUAUUUAUAUUUUGAUAAAUAUAAAAAAGAUUCAUACACAAAAUGAGAUUAAAAAAAUUUGAAAUGAUGUAAUUUAAAAUACUUAUAUUUUAAAAUUUUCUAAAAUUUUGAAUUUUCUCAUCUAAACGGUAAAAGAACCAUGAAGGCCAUUGUACAAGGAGUAGGAUUGCAUUUUGCCCUUUCUACUAAAAAAAAGACAAAUUGGUCCAUUUACAUUAAAUCAAAGAGCAAACUAGUUCUUCUGUCUCUAUUGUUAAAAGCUUAUCCCUAAAUGCCAGCUUGGGGUCUACAUGACAUGUCAUAUGUAACUGUCUGAUUAUUUUGUCAUCUACGCCAGUUUUUAACAAUAAAAAUGAAGGAAAUUUUUAACAGAAAUGAUUUGUUUGCUAUUUGAUCUAAUGUAUAAGAACUAAUUUACUUAUUUUUUUUAAAAUAAAAAACAACAAAUAUACAAUUUAACUCGUAAUAUAAAUACCAAAUACCAUAGGAUACUACUUCUACCCAUCUAAACACAUACCUUUUUAGUGAAAUGAUGAAUGUUGAUAGAAACUAAGAUCAAUAAUUUUGUAUUACUUCAAAACAAGAUUCUAAUUCUAAUAAUUUAUAUAAUAUUAUUAUUUUUUCCAAAAAGAUUUUAUUGUAAAGUUAGAAGAGCAUAUUAUUUAUUGUGUAGAUAUCAAACUUGGAGAUAUAUGCCAAUUAUAUGACUAUUUUAAUCCAAAGUUCAGAAAUUUGAUAGACUAGUUAUAGCAAAGAAAUAAUAUUAUUACAAUUUACAAAUAAAAUCGAUUCAACUGCCCGAUUCCUAGGUCAAGUUUUUUAAUGAUUUUUCUCAUAAUGAUACCUUUACUGAUUUCAAAUUUUUAUGAUUUUUUUUUAUAAAUUUUAAGUUUAUAUCAAUUUUAAUAUUUUUUAUAAUUUUUUACAAAUUUUAUUUUUUUAAAAGAAUUUUAAUGAAUUUUUUAAAAAAUUUAACUAUUUUAAAUAAGUUUAUUAAUUUUACAAUUUUUUUAAUAAUUUUUAAUUUUAUAAUUUUAAUAAGUUUAUAUCAAUUUUAAUAUUUUUUAAUAUUUAAUUUUUUUUAUUGUUCUGUAAUUUUUUAAUCAUUGUUAUGAGAAAAAUAUUAGAUUAAACUAAAAGUUGUCACAUGUCACCAUCUAAUUGGUCUAUCAAUUUAUUUUAAUGGUCAACGUGCUCAAUGAUAGGAACUACUAACAAAGGGGCUUAAUUAAUUUUUUAGUUAACAACGGGAGCUUAAUUGGGUACGAAUUUAAUGCAUGAGCUUAAUUGAUUAUUUUGCAUUUCCUUAAGAGCUUUUUUUACAUAUAAGCUUAUUUGUUAAAAGGUGAUUGCUUGUUCAAACUCAAAAUCCCACGCCAAAAUUUGGAAGAGCCUAACAAAAAUAUUAGGCCUAAAAAUUAAAUUUAGGCAAAAAAAUUGUGCUCAUUUAAAUUAUGGAACGUGUUUGAGCUUCAAUAUUUAAGGCCCGAGCUUGAAUCAUGUUGGCUUAUUUUUUAGUUAUAUAAUAUAUUGUUUUAUUUAUAUAUAUCAUGUAAUUUGUAUUACAUAAAAAUUAAAUUUAUAAUAAUAUACUAAAAUUUUAACAUUAAAAAAUAUUAAUAAUAUGUACAUUUAAAAUUUUAAUAAAAAAUUUAAAAUACCAUAAAAUUUUGUAAAAUACAAAUAUAAAAAUAAUAUUGUCGGUCUUAUGAUGAGUUCGAGCUAACUUGGUUCAAGUUUGAGCAAGCAUGAAGUAUACUGAAACCAUAUAUAAACCCAUUCGAAACCUAACUCGGGUUGACUGAUGAAUGCCUCUAAUAUAAUUAAAAUUAAGGGAAAAACCCCGCAUAAAGAAUAAAAUAUAAUAGGUUAAAAUAUGCCAUAGGUCCUUAUACUCUUCACAAAUUUAGAAUUUAGUUCAUGUACUUUAUUUCUAGGAAUUUAGUUCAUCUAUUUUUUAGAUUUUAAAAACUUAAGUCCAACUAUUAAUACUGUUAAAAAUAUUUUGUUAAAUUUAGGUUCAUUACAACAUCAUUUUUUCAGUUACAUGGCUACCAAGUGGUUAUUUUUUAAUUUCAAAAUAUCACACCAUAAAAUUUAACCAAAAAAAGUUAACAGUGUUAACAAUUGAACCUAAAUUUUGUAAUAUGAAAAGUAGAGAGAAUAAAUUUUAAAAAAUAAAAGUAAAUGGAUUAACUUCCAAAUUUAUGAAUAGUACAAGGACCUAUACCAUAUUUUAACCAAUAUAAUACAUGCUAAUAUCUAACUAAACAAUGAAGAAAUUUCACAAAUUCCACCUUCAAAGUAGAAAUCUAAAAAAGAGAAAUUAAGAAAUUUAAAAAGUUGUGAACAAAUUAAUUUCAUAAUUAAAAUCUAUAAUCAAAACGAAGCCUAAUAUUUUAAACAAAUUCUAAUUUGGUAUGCAUGUUUUCAUGAACUAAAAAAUGUUAUCCAUUGACUUCAUCAUGAAAAAGAAAUACUGAAAUAAUUAAGAUGUUGAAUUACUAAAAGACACCCCACGCUGAGAUGUUGACACAUUGAUGGUUAAUUUACAGACAAAACAUUCAUUAUAUUUUGUUAUAUAACACAUUUAACCUAUUACUUUUAUUACACUUAUGUCGGUCCAUGUCAUGUUGUCUAAUAAAGAUGUGGUUCUUGUUGUAUAUAUUUUAUAGCAAUUUUAAAAAUAAAUAAAUUAGUUUUUUAAAGAAAAUUAGAGUAAUUUAGUUUUUAUUAAUUUCGAAAGUGAUCAAUUAAAGAUUAUGAUAUUAAAGUUUUUCAUCAAUUGGACAUGAUUUUGAUUGGUAUAAUAAUAAAUUUAGCUUAAAGUUUACAUAUUCUGUCAAUUUAGUCUUAAUUUAACAAAUUUACCAUGCAAUAUUUGUGUAAAUAUGUAAAUGUUGAGACUGAAUUUGUUUAACUUUUUAGAAUUAAGGUCAAAAUAAUAAAAUAUGUAAAUAUCGAAGAUUGAAUUUGUUAUUCUUUCAAUCAAAAUUAUGUACACUUGAUAGAAGAUAUUAACGCAAUAAUUAAUUGUCUUUAAUUACUUAAUUUUAAAAUUAACAAAAAAUAAUUUAUUUUAUUUUAAAAAAAACCUGAUCACGCCUUUCAACCAUAUUUUUUUAUAGGUUCUUUUUUCUUUACUUUUGUAGUUAUUAAAGUCAACUUGUUGUAUAGAUUUGAGAUUUGCCAUACUUUUGACUUUGAAAAAGGUAUGGGUAGCUUGUUUCUUUGAAUUUUAUUUAAAAAAUUAAAAAUAAAUGUUGUAUUGAAAUAUUGUUGUUGGCAAUGGGUUGAUUUGUUAAAUGGUUACUUUUUUUUCAAAAUAAAUAAUUUAAAAAUCCAUAUUUUUCUAACUUGCAGCCUCACAUAAUGUUUAUAAUUUGAUUGAUAAAUAUAGAUUAAAAUAUGCUAUAAUUAUUUGUAUUCUUCGUAAAUUUAAAAUUUAAUUUUUAUAUUUUUAUAUUUAGGAAUUUAAUUUUAUUACUUUUUAAAUGUUAAAAUUUAGGUUCAACUAUUAAUAUUAUUAAAAUUAAGUUUAUUAUAAUGCCAUUUUUUUAUUUUAAUUACUACCAAGUGAGUAUUUUUUAUUUCAAAAUGUCAUUCCAACAAAUUUAAUAAAAAAAAUUCAACAGUGUUAACAAUUGAACUUUAAUUUUGAAAUACCAAAAGUGUAGGGACUAAAUUCUAAAUUUGUGAAUAGUAUAGAGGCCUAUAACAUAUUUUAACCAUUAACAUAUUAGUUAAACCCAAUUUCUUUUAAGAGAAUCAAAUAUAGCAUAUAGGAGAGGAAUCCAUUAACACCAAUGUAAAACUAUUUAGUACAUGUAAUUUUUGAAUUAAUCAAUUUUAGUCCCUGUAUUUUUUAAAAUUUGAAAAUUUAAUCCUGACUUAAAUAGUAGAAGUUAAAUCUAUUAGGUUAAAUUCAAUUAGUAGUCAUAUACUACGCAUACAGUUGCAAAUUUAGUCAAUAUUUUCUAAUUAAAUUAUUUUAAGUCUUUAUACUUUUCGAAGUUUGAAAUUUCAAUCUUGACAGAAAUGAUAGCCGUUAAUUCAUAAAUUGGGUUCUUAGUGAGUAAUAUAUGAAAAUAACAAGUUGACAUGGUAUUACAUAUAUGAUAAUAUGUUUAUCGCGUUGAUUUUAGAACUAAUAGAACUUAACUUAAUGAAUUUAACAAUUAUGGUUUGUUGAGGACUGAAAUUUUAAAAUUUAAAAAGUAUAGAGACUAAAAAUGAUCAAAUUAAAGUACAAGAAUUAAAUUCAUAAUUUUCAAAAAAUAGAGAGACUAGUAGCACAAUUUAACCAAAUAAAAUUAAUUAUAGGCGAAAGGAAAUAAAGUUAAAUAAACAUAUAGGUAUUAAAAAAACCAUAAAUGUUUUUGUUAGUAAUUGUGUGACUUGAAUCCCGACAUUUGUUAAAGAAAUAAAUACAGCGACAAAAUAAGGGGAUCUGUGGGGGCGAAAGGCUAAGAGCCAUAUUGCACAAGUUGAGUCUGUAUAAAACUAUACUUCUUCUAUUUGACUUUGACUAGAACAAGAUUUCUCAAUCCUUAAAUAGAUGUAGUCGAAAUUUCUCUUGUAUCAUUCGUUUUUUAACAUUAGUAAAUUUCUCCUCCUCUACCUGUAAUUUUUUUCCUAAACAAUCAUUCUACCAUCAUUAUCGACGUUUAUUAAUAUACAUUUUAUUUUAAUGUUUUCACCUACUGAUUUGGUAUUUGAGUAUUCAUACUAUCAAAUUAGAUAAUAGUCUAAUCACAGGUUUAGGUAUUGAAAAAUUUGGUAGGAGAUAGAAAAGUUCUGAAUGCAAGUCAAAAUAUAUAUAGAAUUUGGAGAAGGAAAGAAAACUACUUGGGCAAAUCAAUGACAAAGGGACAGCCAUGUUUUGAGACUUAAUUGGGUUAAUUGCAUGCAGCUGUUGAAUAACUCACAUCACUGAUUGAGAUAUGGACCCAAAGUUUGAAUAGAGAUUCAAAGGUUAAUUGGGUUUCUAAUGGUCCCCUUUAACCAUAUUCCACAAUUACAAAAUAUCUAACCAAAAGUUAUAUAAAGAUUCGAUAUAAUAUUCAUCUACAUUUUACGGUUCGAGUUUAUGGUUGUCCUUAUUAAUAAUAAUAUUUUUAAGUUUUAAAUUUACGUUCUCUCCAUAAAAAUGUAAUAUGUUUUAUUGUUAUAUUCAACACUUAUUGAUUAAAGAUUUUCCUCUUUAAAUUUACUAACAUUCCUAUCUUAAAAAAUAUUUUGUAAGAUAAUUAUCUAUGAAAUUAUAACAUAUUCGUAUCUAGCUGAAAACAUUCAUGUAACAAAAUUAUAAUUAUAAAAAAAUAUAGAAGGAUAAAAAUACCUUCGUAGUAAUACUUAUUACUUAAUAAAAGUAAUAGAUUUUUUAUAAUUUCACAAUUGAGUUGAGACCCAAUUUUGAGGUUAAAUAAUAUCAUAUGCAUUUUUUUUAGAUCUUACAUAAAAUAUAAAAUGACAAAAAUACCCUUAUAGUAAUACUUGUUAUUUAAUAAAAAAAAGAAUUUUCAGUAAUUUCACAAUUCACUCUGGAUAUUUUUUAAAUAAAAAAUAAAUUUUGAAUAUGAAAUUAUUGUUAUAUAUUUAAUUAUUAAUGAUUUUAAAUUAUAAUUUAAUUAUUUUUAUUAUAAUUCUAAAACAUAUUUUUUUAUUACAUGCAUUUAUCACACGCAUAUAUGCCUAUGGCCCGACUUGUUAGAAAAAAAAGAAAAUAAUUGUUAUUAUUAUAUAAAAAAAAUAUUCACCAAUAUUUGCUCAUAUUUUUGGUAAUGGUUGUCAAUUUAUGAAGUCAAAAAGUAGUUAGCUAAGAAUGAGUUCAUAUGAAUAUAAAAGUUAAAAAAAGAAAAUGGUUUUUUAGGUAAAUAUUCUGUUCUUUAUGAACUUGGAUUUGCAUGCAUCAACUUCACUUUCAUGGAAGGCAUUUUUCUUUUCAUUUCAAUGUGGUCCAAUAUAUCUUCCUCCAUUAACUUAACCUUUUUUUAUUGGUCCUCCAUUGUCAUUUUCUUCCCCAAUUCUCUUCAACUUUUAGGUACAUGAUUUCUAGAUGCAGUUUAGACAUGGGGUUUGAAAGUGAAUGUCCACAUGCAUGAUCAAAAAGUAGUUUGGAAAUGAAAAAUACAUGUCUUGUAAUAGUCUAUCUUUUCCUUAUAGACAUAGUCAAGGGAUAUUUAUUCAUUGUGUCUCAAAACAAAUGUACAAUUUCUGCAUAAACACUACAUUAAUGGCAUUGUUCUCUACAUUUCUUAUAUGCUUUACUGUUAUUAACCUUGUAUUUGCAGAAGCUAAGGUCUACAUGGUUUUAAUGGAGGAUAAGCCUACUUUCUCUCUCACAACCAAACAAAAAUACAUGUAUGUAUGCAUGCAUGUAUGUAUAUGAAAGUUCCCGAUUCAAUGCUAGCAUUGCACUAGGACAAGUAAAAAAAUAUAGGUGCAAAGGAUUGGUUUUGUGUUGAGUUUCAGGUUUUGAUUGGGAAGGAAGCAAUGGGUAUGUAUGUAUGUAUGUAUGUAUGCAUGUAUGCAUAUGAAAGCUCAUGAUUCAAUGCUAUGGUUAUGUGAUGAACUAGAAGUAAAAAAAUAUGGGUGCAAAGGAUUGGUUGUGUUGAAUGUCAGGUUUUGAUUGGGAAGGAAGCAAUGGAUAUGUAUGUAUGUAUGUAUGUAUGUAUGUAUGUAUUAACCUCCCUAUCUUUCAACGUGUAGGAGUGACAAAGAUUAUACUGUUUACAAAGAGCAAAUCAGUAGCAGCCACACUAUUUUCUUGGAAUCUCAUUUACAAAAAGGAUCAUAUACAAAACUUUAUAGCUAUACACAUUUGCUCAAUGGCUUUGCAAUCCAUGUUACUUCAAAAGAGGUACAAAAUUAUAUAAGAUCUUUUGAUGGUCUUGAAAUGUAUAUGAGGUGCUUGAACUUUUUUGCAGGUUCUUAGUAUCCUUCGAAACACGACCGGGGUACGGUCGGUCCAUGAGGACGUCAAAAUCGAGAAACUUACUACGCAUACACCCGAUUUUCUCGGAAUACCAGCACAUGUAUGGCCAAGAUUAGGUGGUGUAGAAGGAGCUGGUGAAGGGAUUGUGAUAGGUUUCAUUGAUACUGGGAUAAAUCCUAACCAUCCUAGUUUUAUGAUAAAUUCUUCAUCAGGGUUUUUAAAUAGUACAAAGUUUAAAGGGAAAUGCGACACUGGUGAGCUAUUCCCUUCAACAGCAUGUAAUGGAAAGAUAGUAGGUGCUCAAUAUUUCGCGCAUGGAGCAAUAGCUAACGGUGAGUUUAACGCUACUCGUGAUGUGUCGUCUCCUUACGAUGCAGAUGGACAUGGAAGGCAGGUUAUGCCCAUACAAUGAUAAAUUUAUAUCUGUAACUGUUAUUUUAGUUCUAGCUGACAAACACAAUAUAUACAUGUUCUAGCCAUACAGCAUCUAUAGCUGCAGGGAACCAUGAUAUUCGAGUGAUCGUCGAUGGUUUCGAUUAUGGUGCUGCGAGUGGAAUGGCUCCAGGAGCUAGGAUUGCUGUGUAUAAAGCUCUUUAUACUUUCGGAGGGUAUAUGUCGGAUGUUGUGGCCGCAGUUGAUCAGGUUCGAGAAUAUUGCUUUAUGAGAUAAUUGCCAUACAAUCUCUAUAAGGUGAUUAACAUGUUUUCUUAUUUAUUUAGGCAGUUGAAGAUGGUGUUGAUAUACUUAGCCUCUCGGCCGGUCCAUCGAGUGUUCCUUCCGGGGAUUCUGCUUUCCUAGAUGUGCUCGAAUUGCAGCUCUUGUUUGCUACCAAAGCUGGUGUUUUAGUUGUUCAAGCUGCUGGAAAUGGUGGACCUUCUUCUAGUUCAGUCAUUUCAUUUAGUCCUUGGAUCACUAGUGUUGCUGCAUCUAUUACCGAUCGUAAAUAUAACACUACCAUCGUGCUCGGAAAUGGACAAAGCUUCACCGGAACUGGCCUUUCACGUAAUUUAUAUUCGUAAUUCCGUAUUUCUAAUUCUUCUCAACGGUUCUGAAUCUUCUGAUGUUAACAUACAACUUGAUCUUCAACUUUGCAGCUCCCACAGAUGCUGAAAUAGAUUACAAUAUAGCUGCAGCAGCUGAUGUAUGUGUGAGGAAUGCUACAAUCAUCACAGUUGAUAGUUGUCAAAAUCCUGAAUCUUUCAUCCGACCCUUGGUCUAUAAAAGGCUUAUUAUUUGCACGUACACAUUCGAAUAUGAGUACGAAGCUGCGAGCAUUGCAACCGUUGCGGACACUAUGAUGGAAAUAGGGGCAGCUGGUUUUAUAAUCACAUUGGAUCCUAAUAUUGGUCCUGAGGUAGUGAAAGGAACUAUGCUGACCCUGCAGAUCCCUGCCAUUGUCCUUAACGACAUGCAAGCUUCAUCGGUACGUUACUUUCUCUACCGAUAGACCUUCUUCGGGUUUAAUUGUUAAUACGUAUUUAUCGUUCCUUGUUCACAUCCUAUUAGGCUUUAUGGGAGUAUUACAAUGCCAAUACUAUUAGGGACAAAAGAGGACAAGCAGUGGUAUUUGCUGCAAAAGCAAGGAUAUUAGAUGGAAGGCAAGCAAUUUAUACGGGGCAGGCUCCGGUUGUGGCAUCCUACUCUUCUCGAGGUCCUGAUGUGAAAAAUGCACUUAUGCAAACUGUUGAUGUACUUAAACCAAAUGUCAUGGCCCCUGGAACCUCUAUUUGGGCUGCAUGGAGUCCUGAUAGUGAAGGAGAUAAAUACGUCAAAGGUAUGAACUAUGAAUGGCUCUCGAUUUAUACGUUGGGGGUGAUUCCAUAGAACUUAACCGAAGAUUAUCUAUUUUUUGAUGCAGGGCAAAGUUUUGCACUUAUAUCCGGUACAAGCAUGGCUACCCCACACAUUGCUGGCAUUGCUGCUUUGAUCAAGCAAAGACAUCCUAAAUGGGGUCCUGAUGCUAUCACAUCCGCAAUGAUGACAACUGCCGAUAGAACUGGUCAUUCAGGUGCCCCUAUUCUAGCUGAAUCAUCAAACGAACUUAUUCAUGCUACUCCAUUCGAUUUUGGGGCAGGUUCCAUCAAUGUUUCUCAAGCCAUGAAACCAGGACUCAUAUUCAAUGUCACUUUCAAACACUAUGUUCAAUUCCUUUGUGCUGUUCCAGGUAUCGAUGUCAAGUCCGUGAAAAAAGCUGUAGGAGUUGCUUGUCCUACUAAAAAUAAGUUCAAGUGCUCGGAUUUGAAUCUAGCAAGUGUAACGAUCUCAAAUUUAGUUGGAAAAAGAAAGGUGAUUCGAUAUGUAAAAAAUGUGAGUCAUAAGGAAAAAUAUACCGUACAUAUAAAGGAGCCAUUAGGCGUAAAUAUUACCAUAAUUCCGGAGUCAUUUAGGAUCAAAAGAAGAGGUUCAAGGCGCCUAAGGCUCAUAUUUGAAGCAAUUGAGGCAACAAAUGCUUACACAUUUGGGGAAAUGGUGUUAAAGGGUAAGAAACACAUUGUAAGAGUUCCUUUAGCUGUUUAUGUAGGUUCUACUUCAAGUUCUUGAUAUUUAUCUAUCUUCUCAAACAAGCAAAUGGAGAAAUGUAUUACUUGCUCUUCAAGAAACCGACCUCUUUAUUUGUAAAGAGCUUGUUCAUUAAAUAAUCAUCACUUUCUUGUUCAACAAAGGGAAAUCACCAUUCCUAGCAGCUACAAAUAAAUGUAUGUAUAUAUAUUUGACAGCAUAAAAAAUAUUAUUGCAAAAGUAACACGACGGAGGAAUUGCAUCACGACUAUUACUGUUACGUUAAGAAUCGUGAGUCCACUAGUCAUGGAGAGCUGGCAGCAUCAAUGGGCUGGGCUUAGGGGUUACUGUUGCAUCCUUGCCCAAACCUGAACCAGCCUGGUAAGUGAUUGCUUCUAUUAGCAUAGCCACCACAAGAACCGUGACACGAAUAUUACUAGGAUUAUUAUGAGAACCAAUUCCCAAAUAUUUGUCACGUUGAUCAAUCAAAGUUAACUUCCUGGUCAAGUAAUCUAUUCGAAUGUAAGUAUGUAAUUAUGUAAGUAUAUUACAUCACUUUUUUUUGUUGCGUAUAUUACAUCACUUUUUUUUGUUGCUUUCCAAUUAUCUAUCGAAUAUUACUUAGAUAUCUUCCUAACAGUUCCACUGUAAAUAUGCAUAGUUUGACAAACGAAUUAGCCAUAGUUAUUUAUUGAGCAGGCAUCUUCUUGAUAUUUUUGGAGCCCUAGGUAAAAUAAUAAAAUGGAGUUUUAGAUUCAUUAAAAGUUGGUAAAAAAGUAAUUAGCCUUAAUGUUUGCAUAUUAAACUAAUAAAAAAGCUCAUGUCAGUCUACUAACAAAUUUAGUCCUCUAAUGUUUACAUAUUCUAUUACUUUUAUCUUAAAUAUAAAAAAUUCAACAAAUUUAGCACUCAAUAUUUGUAAAAUUUAUUAUUCUAGUUCAAAUUCUAAAAAGUUUAAUAAAUUUAGCCUCAAUAUUUAUAAAAUGAUAAAUUAUAAUCUUUUUAAAAAAAAUGUAAAUGUUAAGGACUAAGUUUGUCAAGUUAAUUGAGUUUGUUCAUCUUCUUGUGGACUCUUAACCUAUUUUUUUAAUCCUCAGUAAACUUCCUUCUCAGUUUCACUCAAGGGUUUUAAAAAUAAUAUCCCUUGGAAAAAUUUCAGUCAAAUAUAAGGAUAAUACUAACAAAUUAAGACUGUUAUGUCAAUGUGUGCUCACUUCUUUUGCACAUCUAUAUAUUCGUUCAAAUAUAUACUUCUGUUCAAAUUCUGCUGACAUUGCAUGCAUUAGCCUACAAGCAACCUCCUCUUUAUAAGACAACACUGCAAAUAAACUCAGCAAAUUCAUUGUUGUGAAAGAUCACCCCCCAAAAAAUCACAGCAUUAUGGAUGAUCAGUUGCGGACCGUGGCACAGAAUGGAGACAUUGAUGCAUUGUAUAGAAGGGUUGCCGAGGAUCCAUAUAUCCUGGAUCGUAUUCAUCGGCUACCGAUUGCCGAUACACCCUUGCACCGGGCUGCCAGGUCAGGUAAACCCCAUUUUGCAAUGGAAGUUGCAAAUUUGAAGCCAUCACUUUCUUCGAAGCUAAACCAUAUGGGACUUAGUCCUCUCCAUCUUGCUCUGCUGAAUAACUGCAGUCAUAUGGUUAGAGGACUAAUCACGAUCAAUAGUAAGCUGAUCCGUGUCAAAGGAAAGGGGAUGAUUACACCGUUACACUAUUUAGCUGAGAUCGAUGAUGCUGAUGUUUUAGCUGAAUUUUUAUUUGCUUGUCCAUCAUCUAUUGAAGACACCACAGUUAAGUUUGAGACCGCAGUGGACAUAGCCGUGAAAAACCGUUCAAUUAGAGCUCUCAAAGUCCUUCUGGGAUGGCUAAAUCGAGUUAACAAAGAAGAUAUUCUGAAUUGGAAAGAUGAAGACGGUAACACAGCCUUGCAUAUUGCUGUAUCUACUAAUCAGCCUCAGGCAAGCUUUAAAUAUGCUCAUUAACAUUAUUUGCUACACAAUUAUAGUUAAUUAAUUUAAACUUUGUAUAUGAUGAUGUAGGUUGUGAAGUUGUUGGUUAAGCAUGUCAAUGUGAAUGUCAAGAACUCCAAUGGUAUGACAGCUAUGGACACAUUUCACCUUCAAGCAACAAUGCAGAACUUAGAGGUCGGUAAGAUUCUAAGUCGUGCUAGAGCAAAAACGGCAUCCAAUCUUACCUCAAACAUGACUCUCAGAGAUUACCUGAGCAGGAAGUUAACUCUGAUCGAUAUACGAGACAAAUAUUUGGGAAUUUAUUCUCGUAAUAAUCGUAGUGAUAUUCGUGCUAUGGUUCUUGUGGUGGCUAUCCUGAUUGUGACAGCCACCUAUCAGGCCGGCCUCAACCCUCCAGGGGGAUACUGGCAAGAUAACUAUAAACCAGCAACAACAAAUAAUGGUAGUAGCAGUGCCAACAACACCAAUACCAGCUUGGGCCAAGAUCAAAGGCCACAUUAUGCAGGACAGAUAAUCAUGAAACCUUUUAAUCUAUUCUAUUUCUUCACGCACAAUAGUUUGGCUUUCUAUUUAUCAGUUUGGACGAUUCUGGUUGUUAUAACAGGCCUUCCAUAUUCCAUGAUCCUUUACAUAUGUACAUGUUUUCUCCUUCUUUCAUAUUAUGCUUCGCUAGUUAGUAUCUUUCCAUCACACCCAAACUCUUCGAUUUUCACAGCUGCCAGUACUUCAUACAAAAACUUACUUUAUGUGUCCGCAGCAGCGACAUAUGUAUUUCCUGUGAUAGCGCUUGUUAAACAUGAAUGGGUUAAAAACCGGGUGGUCUUAAUGAGAGGAAACAGGGUAGGCACCAUUCCAGAAAUAUGAAGAGAUGAGGAAACUAUGUUUGUUUUUAUGUUAUAGAUUUUAGAGUGUAUUUGAAUCUGGUGUUGGUUUAGGUUUAAUCCAAAAUCAGAGGAAACAGGGUAAUUACCUUUAGGCGUAAAUGUUACCAUCUUUCCAAAAUCAUUCAGGAUCAAAAGAAGAGGUUCAAGGCGCCUAAGGCUUGUAUUUGAAGCAAUUGAGACAAUAAAUGCUUACUCAUUUGGGGAAAUGGGUAAAGAGCACACUGUAAGAGUUACUUUAGCUAUUAAUGUAGGUUCGACAUCAAGUUGAUAUUUCUCUCCCUUUUCAACCAAGCAAAUGAAGAAAAUGUGUUACUUGCUCUUCAAGCAAUCAACCCUUUAUUUCUACGAGUUUGUUCAUUAAUUCAUCACCAUCAUCAUUCACUUUCUUGUUCAACAAAGAGAAAUAACUAUUCGUAUAAGGUACAGAUGAAUAAAUGAAUUGUAUGCACAAGUUUAAGGUGAUACAUUGUUACUACUAAUUAAAGGCUACGAAAAUAUUGAGAAAUUUCUCUCAAUUCAUUCAUGUUUCUAAGAAAAUAUACAUAUGUUUGUGGACACCUAAAUUUGUCCGAGCAGUUAUUUUUGAGUUUAUUGGGCAUCGAUAUUAUUGAAUUAGUAGGUUGUGUGAACUUUUCUUUAUAGAAUUGACUUUUAAAUUAAUUCUAGAAUCGAGUUAAAAGUUUAAUUUGAUUUUAGAAUUAAGGUUAAAAAGUAAAGUUUUAAAAUAAGAAAAAAAAUUUGAAUUUUUAUCAAAUUGUGAAGGUAAAUCAAACUUUUAAAUCUUUUUAAUUUGAAUUGAAAAUGAGAUUCAGCUUUUUUUCCAAAAUUUGAAAAUCUGAUUAUGCUGAACCUAUUUUUUAAAGGCAGCCUAAUUUAUAUUUCGAGCCCAAAUUUGAUUCUGGCCGUUAGGCCCAUUUUUUGUUAACAAGUUAGCAGCCAGGGUUUUGGAACCCUGGCCCUCUGCUGCUGCAUAGUGUGAAGGUGAUGAGAUAGGGCGCCAAGAAAAAUAAUGACAGAUUGUAAAGUUGAUCAAUUGUCAUAAUAAUCCUAGUGAUAUUCGUUCUGUGUUUCUUGUGGUGGCUACCGUGAUUGAGACAACCAUCUACCAGGCUUGCCUCAAUCCUCCAGUUGGGUACAGGCAAGCUGACCAGAUAUUAGCAGCAGCAGUGCCAACAACACCAAUACCAUAUAGGAUAGUUGCCUGUCCUAAAACAUGAAAAUAAGAGGAAACUAUGUACAUGUAACAUGUUUUAUGUUUUUAGUUUUAGAGUUUAACUGAAUCUGAUAUCAAUUUAGGAUUUAUCUAAAAUAUACUAUAGUUUGGACAUUGCAGUUGUGUACUUAAAAAAUGUUUAGAUGUCAAAUGUUGCCUUCUUCACCUCUCAUUGCUAGUUGCACCCACUCGUUUAUCCAUGGCAUGAAAAACAUCUAGACCUGUCAAUUCUAACUCGAGCUUAGCACGAACAAAAUGUCGAUCAUCGAUCGGACAGUCCUGACUAAUACAUUUCUCCUACAAGUGUGUUCUGGAACAUAAAAAGCAUUCACUUGUUUGUUUCAUUGUUUCACCACCUUUUGCUAUAAUCAGCUAUGCCAUUAUUGCUCUUCCUCUCCAUUGUCCACCCCCAAAAUCUGCAGGAAACGACACUUGGAAAAUCCCAUCAUCCAUCCAUUGUUGCUUCUUUUGACUUAUAUGUUCAUCUACUUUACACCUUGCAUUAGCCUUUUUAGUUUCUCUUUUAAGCUUUUUGCAUUGCGAGAGACUAAAGAUGAAUUUUGGGUAGUGCUGUGCUUCAUUUAAGAAAUAAGUUAUAAGUCCCUGCACUUUUCAUAAAUACGGAAUUUAGUCCCUGUACUUUUAUUUUUAGGAAUUUAAUUAUCUACUUUUCAGAUUUCAAAAUACAAGUCAUAACAAUGUCAUUUUUUUUACAUAGCUACUAAGUAAGUAUUUUUUUUUUCAAAAUGUUACCAAACAAUUGGAUCUAGAUUUUGAAAUCUGAAAACUAUAAAGAUUAAUUUCUAAAUUUGUGAAGAGUAUAAGGAAAAUGUAUAUAUCGCUGGUGUAGCUCCGUCGUAACACUACCUUUUGUAGUUAUGUUCCUCUCUUUCACCCCCAACAUUACCAAGCGUCGAGAGAUGGCCAGGGGAUGGUGUUUUUAUAGACACAUGGACGUAUCAUUGGUCCCAAUUCUCAACCAUGUCCACUCCAUUAUUUCUUCAUAGUGGCAAGAACUUGUUAAUGGAGAGAGUGAUUUUAUUAUUUAAGCAAAUAAAAUUGGUGCUGGUCACUAUCUCAAAAAGAACCCUCUUCUCAAUCUUUCUAACCAGGUGUUAAUCAAGUACAACUAGAGCUAUAAUACCUAUUUUUUUUUCUCUUUUUCACUAGUUAUUAACGACCUUGAGAUAGCCAAAUGGAAUACCAGUAAGAAAAGCCACCAACCCACUUCACAAAUAAAAUAGUACCCGUAGGGACCUAUAUGCAUAUACCUAAAUCGUAUACAAAAUUCAAACUUGUAAUCUAUUCUUGGUUCCUAUACAUGCCGACAUAAAUUUAAACGUGUCAAUACUUAGAAAAAAAUAUAGGUUUUAAGAUCACUUAUGUAAUAUAAAACCUGCAAAAAAAAACAUAAAACGAAAAGGGUGCUUUCCACCAUGAAUAACAGUAAUUUAAGAGAUUUAGCUGCUUGGUUAUUGGUUUAACGGUCGUGGUAGUGCGUUAAAGCUCACCAAAGUGAUAGGUUUUUGGUGGGUUUUAUUGUACUUGGCUCUUCUCAUUUGAUGUCUACUGAAGUAGUCAACCAUAAUUAUCAGGUUAUUAAAAGUGAUAUACAUCAAUAGAGCAAACUUGGUGUUGGUUGGAACUUUUAUGUCAUGAUUUGAUAUUUAAAUUAUUAUCGUUUUUUUAUUUUGGUAUCUAAUUUUUUUUUUCUCAUAGUAAUACCUAAAGUAUUCAUCCUUUAUAGUUUUUGGUCCAAAAACUUAAUAGUGCGAACAUCAUUUGUCUACCUAUUUUUCCUUGUCACCGAUAAGUAGGCAAUGAUGUGCCUGUUGACCAUAGACAAAUCUCGAAAUUAUUUUAUUGAGAUGAAAAUUAAAUUAUAAAUUUUUUAUAUGUCAAAUACAGAUUUUAUCAUAUAUUGAUUUAUGAUUUUAUAAUUUUUGAAAGGACUAAAUAGAUUUUUUUCAUUUUUUAAAGGGGGGCUAAAGCAUAUUUUUCCUUACAUUAAUUUAUAAUUGAUUAAUUAUAAGGGGGCUAUAAUUGUAACUUUUCAAUUUUGGGUGCUAGGGCCCCUGCUUGCCUCAUUGUACCGAUCCUUGCUGUUGACCAUAGAUAGAUCAAGAAAUUUUUUCUAGGAGGUCAAAAUUAAAUUAUAAAUUUUUAAUAUGAUUUUAUGAUUUUUAAAAGGAUUAAAUAAAUUUUUUUAUUUUUUUGAGGGCUAAAGCAUAAAUUUUUCUUAUAUUAAUUUAUAAUUUAAUCAAUUAUAAGGGAUUAUAAUUACCAUUUUUUAAAAUUUGAGGGCCAGGACUUCUGCCUACCUCUUGUAUUCGCCCCUAUCUUGAUCACUUACUAAAAUCUGUAUGUUGUUGUCUGGCAUUGACCAAUCGUUGAUUGACGCUAAUGUUUGACUUUUGACCAUUUUAAUAUAGAUUUUAAAAUUUUAGAAUUAUUAUUUUUCAUUUUCUCAAAUUGCUUAUAUUUUAUAUAAUGUUAUAUAUUAUUUUAUUUUAUAUAAUUGGUAUAUUAUAAAAAUUUAAAUUUAAAUUUAAUAAAAUUUGAAUUUAUAUAUAUAUAUUUCCCACUUGUUUUAUAUUUUAUAUGAUGUUUGUAUAUAAAAAAUUAUAUAUUAUAAUUUUUUGAAUUUUUGAAUUUAAUAAAUUUAGUAAAAAUUGAAUUUAUACAUAUAAUUUGGAAUUUUUAUACGAUGUUUUUAUAAUUUUUUAUUUUAUAUAGUUUAUAUAAAUUGAUUUUUUUAAAUUUUAUAUAUUUAUAUAUUUUUUAGAUAUUAUAUAUACAUAUAUUUGUAUUUUGAAUUUUUUUAAUGAAUGUGAUGUCAUUAAUUGUCAUGUAUAAAGAACUUUCAUGUGGUAUCUUCUUAUUGGUUGGUUUGCCAAUUAAUCUUUUUAGCUCUUUUUACUUUUUCCACUCAAAUCUAUACUGGAGUAAUGGCUUAGAUUCCAAGGGACAAAAAAAGUUAAUACUAAAAUGGAAAACAUGUAUACUUUGGAGGGUCUAAACUGAUAUUUCAUACCUUAAGCUCCUGCCUUUGGUGUCGUCCCUGUUUUUGGAUACCACUAAAGAAUCAACACACCCUAAAGGAUUUUUGUUCUAUAUGAGCAUUGCUGUUCAGCGGCAUGUAUUCCUAGAUUCUCUUUAAAGUCGAAAAACAAAAUUUUGAAGAUGCAUUAAAUAUUUGAAGCUGUAAAAAAAAAUAGUUUCACAUUAUCAACACGAUAGUCUAAUAAACACAAAUUCUAAAUCCGAAAAUGUGGGAUUCUCUAAUUUCAUCUAUCCAUUGAUAGAGAAAGAGAAGAAAUGGAGAAAACAUAGAGUCUCCACUAUUAUACUUUAAUGCUUGGAAACCAAUUGUAGGAUAAACCAAUUGUAGGAUGGCACAAUCGGACAAAGCGGCCGAGUUGUUCGCUUACGGAGUAGUCGAAGUAGAACACAAGCGAAUCCCCUGCCGCUACAGUGGUUACAAGAUGCAAUUCAAGGUUCAUGAACAUAGCAAGUACCCAAAUUACUUGGCCAUUGUAAUAUUAUACCAAGCUGGCCAAACUGAAAUUCUAGCUGCAGAUAUUUGGCAGGUAAAUUGAAGUGUUACAUUGUUAAUGAGCUCAAGGAAUUUUAAAGGUUUAAAUUAUUUUUUUACAUCUAGACUUAGCAAUUGUUCUUAUUUUGGGGCUUGAAUUUUUUUUUUCCAAGUUAAUUUCUGAACUUGAUAAUUUUUUCACAUUAGAACAAAAAAGACGAUUGUUUUCAUAUUAUUGAAAUUUAAUUUUAUUUUGAAAACCCUAAAGCUAAGGACCCAAUAUAAAAAAAAUUGCGAAGUUGUAAGACUAACCUAGACUAAAAAAAGUUCAUGUUCCAAUAUGAGAAUAAUUUUCUAGUUCAAGCUUUCAAUGUGGGAUCAAUUGUCAAGUUCAAAAAUUAAGAAUAAAAAAAUUUUACGUUCCAUAUUUUAAAUCCCAGUUAUAUAAAUAUAAUUGUGAAGUUCAGACCUCAAAUAGUGAUUUAACUUAAUUUUAAAAGCAUAGUAAUCAAAAAUUAAGUUGGUGAUAUGAAUUAUGCAGGCGGAUUGUAAGGAAUGGAUAGGGAUGAGGAGGGCAUACGGGGCGAUUUUCGACACAACGUAUCCACCAUCGGGGAGCGGUCACUUUGAGAUUCCAAGUUCAAGGUAGCGCGGGUGUGUAUUGGGUGCAGGCAUCAAAUGUUAUUCCUAGUGAUUGGAAGGCUGGAGUUGCUUAUGAAUCAGAUAUUGAGCUUGAAUGAAAUGUAUCGCAAUUGUACUUCUUGAGAAAAAAGAAAGUAGGAACCUUUUAAAAGAUAAUUAAUUUCCUCAAUUAUAGUUGCUUCUUUAUUAUUAUGUUAUUAAGUAGGUGUUUAUAAGUCAGCAAAGUGCUCAAAACUUUGCCUUGUGCUUAAUAAACAAAAAACUUGGGUAUGUGUACUUUUGCUUGAUGUAUGUGUAUCAACCAAUAAAGUUGCACUAUUGAGAGAUAUUUGCCUUAUAGUUCUUUAUAACUAAUAAUAAUAGUAGCACACAUUAUCUGCCAUAUUUUUAUGUGUUAAAGAGUUACAAGUAAAUGAGUUGGCAAAUUUCAUAAUUUGGCCCCUAUUCGUUUAUUAACCAAUAAUAGAGCUACCUAGAGUUGGUAUUAAGUAAAUUCCCAUCUCGCUGAUUGAAUACAAACUUUAAUUAUAACACAUUAUUCAACAAUUAGCAAUAGUGUUGUGCGGAAGCGUGUAAAAGAGUAAAAUUAUUGUACUAAAAAAUCACACUAAGUUCAAUUCCCAGGAAAGAGAGGUGGAUCACAAGGAUCGCUUAAGUACCAGGUCUUUCCUAGCCAGAAUAUCCCUCAAUCGUAAUUUAAUAGCACAAUAAAUCACUACAAUCACACACACAAUUCAUGCAGAAUAAUACAAUAAAGAACACAAGAAUUUAACGAGGUUCAGCAAAUUUUGCCUACGUCCUCGGGCACUACCAAAUAUUUUUCACUCCAAAAUACAAGUGAGAAUUUACAAAGAGAGAGAGAGAAAACAAUACCUUAAGUAGAGAAUGGCAAGUUUGAGAUACAGAAUGAGAGAUGGUUAUGCCUAUUUAUAGUUGAGGUUCAGGGAUCAACUUGCAAAGUCACUUUACAAUUUAGGGACCAUAUAUUGCAAAUAUCUCAGAUUUUAUUAUGCCAAUAUCUCGAUACCCAUAUCUUUGACUUUCCAAUAUUUGAUACCCAUAUCUUUGACUUUCCAAUAUUUGAUACCCAUAUCUUUGAUUUUCCAUAAAUAUGGAUAAUUCCCAAUAAUCUCCACCACGAAGAUUUGAUUCGAGUAAUCUUAUCUUCACACAAUUCUCUCUGCCUUUGUCAACAACACUUGAUAGUGCCUUCUUCAACUGUUAAACAUGCAGAAUAUUGAUCAAGUUCAAACAAUGUUCGAACUUGAUUGUUGUUACCACCUUGGUCAUCAUAUCUGCGGGAUUAUCUGCAGUCUUAAUCUUCUGAAGGUGAAUUUUCCCCUCAUCAAUAAUUUCCCGCACAAAGUGGAAACGUACAUCGAUAUGCUUUGUACGUGCAUGAUAGACUUGAUUCUUUGCUAAAUGAAUAGCACUUUGACUAUCACAAUACACAUUAAUAUGCUCCUGGACCAAUCCCAAGGUUUUAACCAUACCUUGUAACCAAAUAGCUUCCUUUACAGCCUCUGUUACAGCCAUGUAUUCAGCUUCUGUGGUUGACAACGCAACUGUAGACUGCAGUGUAGACUUCCAACUUAUUGGUCCUCCAGCAAGAGUAAACACAUAACCAGUGGUUGAUCUUCGUUCGUCCAAAUCACCGGCAUAAUCAGAAUCAACGUACCCAACAACACCUUUACCAAGUGUAGUAUCCUGCUUGAACAGUAAUCCAAUAUCCAUGGUCUUAUGAAUAAACCGUAGAAUCCAUUUCACAGCUUGCCAAUGUCCUUUUCCAGGAUUAUGCAUAUACCUGCUCACUAUACUAACUGCCUGUGAAAUGUCGGGUCUUGUACACACCAUUGCAUACAUCAAGCUACCUACUGUAUUAGAAUACGGAACUUGUAACAUGUAUUCUUGUUCUGUAUUUGUCGAAGGAGAUAGUUAUGCAGAAAGCUUGAAAUGAGAAGCCAACGGGGUACUUACAGCUUUAGUCUGCUCUUUCAUGCCAAACUUCUGUAGUAUCUUCUUUAAAUAUUGCUUCUGAGAUAAACUAACUCUGCCAUGAGCUCUAUCCCUACAUAUUUCCAUGCCAAGGAUCUUCUUAGCUUCACCUAGAUCUUUCAUCUCAAACUCAAGGUUGAGUUGAGUCUUCAAUCUCUCAAUUUCAACUUUACUCUUAGAUGCUAUCAACAUAUAAGAGCAAGUAUACGAAAAAUCCUUCUUGUAGCUUCUGAAAAUACACGCAAUGAUAAAAUUUACUUCUUGUAUACCUUUGCCCUUUCAUGAACUGAUCAAAUCGCUUGUACCACUGCCUUGGAGAUUGUUUCAAUCCAUAAAGUGACUUUGUCAGUUUGCAAACCCAAUUUUCUUUAUCAGCAACCUUGAAUCCAUCUGGCUGAGGCAUAUAGAUUUCCUCUUCCAAAUCACCGUGUAAAAAUGCGGUCUUCACAUCGAGCUGAACUAGUUCAAGAUCAUAUUGCGCAACCAAGGCUAGCAAAAUCCGAAUAGACGAAUGCUUCACAACUGGAGAAAAUACUUCAUUGUAGUCUAUUCCUUCUUUCUGAGCGUAACCCUUUGCUACCAAUCUAGCCUUGUAUCGAACUUCAUUUUUAUCAGGAAAUCCUUCCUUCUUUGCAUAUACCCAUUUGCAUCCAAUUGCCUUCUUUCCUUCAAAUUUCUCAUCCAAAUUUAGCAAGUCUGCUAAAAUUUUAUUGAAUGAGUUCACAUGGUCAUUCAUCGACAUACCGGGUGCAUACGUGAAUCGAUAAAGUUUCUUUUUCAUAUAAAGCCUAUUUUCAAGACUUUUUGUUAGAAACUUUUCUUCCAGUGUAUCCCACAACUUCUUCGCUGAUGUCUCCCUCAUGACAGAGUACUUCUGCUCUUUGGCCAAACAUAGGCGAAUUGUUCCACAUGCCUGUCUAUUGAUCUUGGCCCACUCCUUGUCAUCCAUCUUGUCAGGUUUUUCUUCAAGGGCUAUAUCCAGCUCUUGCUGACAUAAGACAUCCAGGAUCUCACAUUGCCACAUACCAAAAUUAUUGGUACCAUCAAAUUUCUCUACUUCAAAUUUCGCAUUGGUCACAGUAGUCUUUGACGAUGACUUUUCCAUUUUUUUCUCCUCAAUCCCAACUACAGUACGUGAACAGUGCCGUGAAUGAUCGUAUUCCCCAAGUACGAAUCUAGCUCUGAUACCAAUUGUUGUGCGGAAGCGUGUAAAAGAGUAAAAUUAUUGUACUAAAAAAUCACACUAAGUUCAAUUCCCAGGAAAGAGAGAUGGAUCAGAAGGAUCGCUUAAGUACCAGGUCUUUCCUAGCCAGAAUAUCCUUCAAUCGUAAUUUAAUAGCACAAUAAAUCACUACAAUCACACACACAAUUCAUGCAGAAUAAUACAAUAAAGAACACAAGAAUUUAACGAGGUUCAGCAAAUUUUGCCUACGUCCUCGGGCACUACCAAAUAUAUUUCACUCCAAAAUACAAGUGAGAAUUUACAAAGAGAGAGAGAGAAAACAAUGCCUUAAGUAGAGAAUGGCAAGUUUUAGAUACAGAAUGAGAGAUGGUUAUGCCUAUUUAUAGUUGAGGUUUAGGGAUCAACUUGCAAAGUCACUUUACAAUUUAGGGACCAUAUAUUGCAAAUAUCUCAGAUUUUAUUAUACCAAUAUCUCGAUACCCAUAUCUUUGACUUUCCAAUAUUUGAUACCCAUAUCUUUGACUUUCCAAUAUUUGAUACCCAUAUCUUUGAUUUUCCAUAAAUAUGGAUAAUUCCCAAUAAAUAGAGUUUCAACGUUAUGUCAUAAACAGAGUAACACAACACAAACAAGUGAUGAGGAGGUUCCAUUCAACAAACUCCAAAUCCGCAAGGAAACCAUCCUAUCUGCAACGGGACCAUAAUUUCUUGAUGUAGGACUACGAUGAAUGAUUGGAUAUAAGCACAAGACCUAAACUUAGUAACACCACACAAAAUAUGAAAAAGCUGAAAUUAACAAUGGCACAAAUGAGGCUUGGUGAUAUGAUUGUUGAGCAGAACAAGUAGGUAAUCGAGAAGAGAAUUAAAGGUAGAGUCAAUAGCUGACCAUAAAACCCGUUUGGGAGUAAAAGAUAAAUGGUUAUGAUUGUCACCCAAAAUGAAAUACUAUUAAGAAUCAAGAAAGUUAUGUAUAACCAUUCUUUCAUCACCACUUUUCCCACCCUGCUGAACGGAAGUGAAUCACUGUCGCUACUGUCAGCCUGUCGAAGCCCUCCCGGUGGGCUGAGAACCGCUUGGAAAGUGGCUGUUGCAACCAGUGCAGCCACCACUAGUAAAGCAUCACGUGUUUCGGUCGAGAUAUUUGUUUUCUGGCCUUUUAGGAACCGUAUGACAUUAUCAAGAAGUGUAGGCUUUGGUUCAAAACUUACUUGCUUCAUGGAAGGAAUAGCAUUAAUGUCGUUGGUCUUCAUUACAUGACUAUGUUCAGCUCCUGCUUGGAUUAAAACAUCUUUCAUGUCUGGAUUAUUGUUAGCACGAUCAACAAUGUCCAGAACUGUUAAACCUUCUAGGCUUUUUGCAUUCACGUUGAUUUUAAACUUUAGUAACGAUUUCACAACCUGCAUGGUAGGAUUUUGCAAUGAUCAUCUUAUUACUAUUGAAGAAAGGAUUAUCAUGGUUAAAUUAUCCUAAUAGUUCAUGUUCUAUGUGGUUCUAGUGGAUUUGGUCCUGCAUUCCAACUUUAUCAAUUUUAAUUUCAUCGGACAUUUUGAUUAUUAAAAUUUUAAACUUGACUCAAAAGAAAAUAGUUGGAUAGUUCAGAAAAAUGACUUAAAAUUUGUUGAUUUUUGUUCUUAGACAAUAGUAAAAAAAAUUAAAAAUUUGAGUUUGGCUUCAAUUUUUAAUUUGGUACUUGAGCUUCUUUUUUUUUUCAAUUAAGUACAAUUUUUUUUAUUAAAUAUCACAUGUCAAACAUUUGUUAGGUUACAUGAUGCCAUUUGAUUUAAUAAAAAAUUAAAAUUAAACUUAAGUACUAAAUUGAAACAAAAAAAUUUAAUUAUCAAAUUUAACAUUAAAACUAAAUUUAAAUACCAAAUAAUAUAUUGACUGGAAAAAUUCAAAAUCAAAUCGUUAACCCGACAGGCAUGGCAAAUUUUCUUGCCCCAUCGGCACAAAAUUUUUAUUUUAAAAAAUGAAAACUUAAUUAAACCUAAAAUUAAAACCCAAAAUCAUCAUCACAAACCGAAAACAACCCGGUCUAAACCAAAACUAGAAUUGAUCAAAUGUAGUAAAUUUACUAAAGCUACAAAGAAGAAUGUAAAGUAUAGGGACUUCCUAUAAAUUUGGCCGGUUAUAUAAUCUAAUUGUAAUGCAAUGCAAUACAAUCUUGUCAUGCAUAGCUGAAAUGAGUUCAUCAAAAAUCACCUGGAUAUCGUUCAUCUUCACUGCUACAUGCAGUACAGUGAAACCAUUUUCAUCCUUCCAGUUAACUACUUUCUCUUCCCAAUAUAGUGCCUCCCUAUACCAUGACCUUCGAAGAAACGACAACAAAGCCUCUAAAGCUCUGGUAUUUCCCUUCUCCACAGCGAUAUGCAGAGCCGUUUCGCCUUUAUUCGUGGUAUCCAUGAUGGAAUGAGGGCUUACCGCUAGAAACUCACGCAAGAGUUUAACUUCGUCGUUUUGAGCUACGUAGUGCAGUGGAGUGAAACCCUCUCUUCCUUUGACACCAACAAGGGUUGGCUCCGUCUCUAUGAGCCGAUACACCAUCGCGGUCUGGUUAUGUUGCAACGCCACGUGCAUGGGACUCCACCCUUGUUCAUCUAGCUUCUUGGAAAGAGAUGGUUUAAGCCUCAUUAUCUCUAAAGCAAAAUUGAUAUGCCCUCGACUUGCAGCUAUAUGUAAUGGAGUUUCAGCGAAAGGUGUUUUAUCAUAAUGCUCCAAAACAUUAGAAUCUUUAGCUAUCGCUUGAUAUAACUUGUUAACAUCUCCAUUUUGAGCAGCAUUCUUCAAUAGAAUAAGAGGAUUCAUUUUGAAAUAAAAAUAGCUAGAUUAACACAAGAUCACACAUGAUGAUUUAGUAUCCUUUAUAUAUAAUAAAAACCAAUGAGAGAAAAGGUUGAAGAAAUCUCCCAAUAGAUAAACAAAUUUAAGUGAAAUUGAAAGAUGGAAAGUGGCUCUCGAAAUAAAGACGAAGUUAGGGGUUGGAGUUUUGUGAUUUUACCUAAUUAUUUUUAUAAUUUAUUAAAUAAUAUAUUUUUAUUUAAUGUAAACAAAAACUUCAAAUCUUGAUGGAGAUUUGAAUGUGUAAAUGAUAAUGAAAUUUGAAUUUUUAUGUGAAUUUUUAACUACUAAUUAACAAUACAUACAUUUUAUAGUGGUAAGUCUUACUGUUGUAUUAAUAAAAAAGUGUAAUUCAAAAUUUCAAAAAUUUAAUAAUAAAAAUAAGAUUUGCUUUUAUAUAAUAUAUUAUAGAUUAAUAUUUAAUACAUUCACUUGCUUCUGAUUUUGGACUUCUACUUAAUAUAUGUGAAAACAAAGUCAACAAUCCAACCAAAGCUUAGACUUUCAUAUAUAUAUAUCAUUUUCUUAAAAAAAAUUAAAAAUGAAUACCUAACCAUCGAUUAAAACAAUUUUACUACUAUUUUAUUAGAACUAGCAAGGAUUUUAUACAUUCCUCUCAACCCUUUAUUUUCUAGAAAUAAAUAAAUAAAUAAAUAAAUUUCAUCUUAGCUAUAGAUCAAGUGGUACAUAUGAUCUAUAUGCUAAAAGUUGGGGUUUAUAUGCUAUCAAGUGAGUGACGUGCAUGUUCCAUGGUAAUUGAUCGUGUAUAAUUUACAACUUAAUUUUAUGAAGUGUUCUCAUUCUAUUAAUUCUAUUUUAAGUUUGAACUUGAUAUAGUUGAGAGAUAAAAUUUAAGAACAAUAUUCAUUAAUUACUCAACAGAUGACAGCUUAAAAAAUUUAUUGAGAAAGAAUUAAUUUCUCUCAACAAGCUUUAAUUAUUAUUUUUUACAUAAUCUAGUUAUUUAUUUGGCCCUACUUAAUUCAUACAUUUUAACUACUCUUAAUUAAAUAUUACAAUUAUUUUUAUAAUAAUAUUACAUAUUACAUAUUUUAUAUUUUAAUUAUUAAAUUAUAAUUCAAAUCAAAUCACAUGACCUUGUACAAGGACUUUUAGUUUCUUUAAAAAAGAAAUUAGGAUUUAGGUAGAUAGUUUGUUUAUAAUAACCUUUCUUUUUUCCACGCAUGAAACUUAAGCAAAAGCAAACUAUUAACCCUUUUGGGAAAACAUCUUCAUAAAAGCCUCUAAUUCUAGCUCUUUUACAAAUUAGUUCUUAAACUUUAAUUAUCUAAAUUAUCCACGUCUAAAACCAUUAAUAAAAGUAAAACUAAAACUAAAAAUAAGUUUUUAAAACAUUUAAUGAUUUGUUAAAAAAUAUCCGUAAAGAUUUGAGAUUAAAAAAUAUCUUAGAAAAGCUUUAAGAAGAUACUAAAAUUUUCAAAUAAUCAGUCAUCAAACUUCCCACAUUCGCAAUCAGAAAUAGACGGCAUCUCAAAUCCAUUAAGAAGUAAGGAAAAGCAGCAUCUGAGUCUUGCACAGUUCAGAAAAUCAUGGUUCAAAGUUCCUAAUUGGCAUGUAGACUACACUCUCUAUCAAUACUAACUUGGUUUAGACCUAGAACCAAUUAAAUUUGUAGCUCUAAUAUCAAAUUGUAACACUCCAAAAUCCGGCUCAAAAGUCUAUUUGGAUCUGGAGCGUCACCGUAGUUGCUACAACAAUCCAUUCUCUCAAUUAUUCAUUUAAUCACAUUAAAAAAUAAAAAUUAAACAUAUACCUAGUAAAUCAUUUAACAAAUCUCUACCAAAUAAUUAAUAAAUUCUAAAAUAAAAUUGAAGAAACUAAAUUGACUAAAUAACAAAUACUAAAUAUAUACCAAACGGUACUAUUUCAAGAGGUACUUACGAAAUAAGGAUUAUAGAGAUUCUUUGACGAUGCUAUUCGAUCAUAAAUUCACAAAUUAUCCAUUACCCACAUAGAAAUUAAAAACUCAAACACUUAACUUCACAACUCAACGGUGAUCUAACAAUUUCCAACAAACAAUAUGCAAAUAGUUAAAUUAAAAAUAUGCUAUUAAGUACUACGUAAAUGCUCAAUAUCAAAACACAAAAAGAAUAUACACUAUUUCGCUUAACUUAAUUUAAACCAUACUAUGUUCAUUCUAUUGACCGCCUAUAUCACAACCAAUAUAUAAUCGAUUAACAAUCUGAUACAUCAAUUUAACAACAAAUAAAAACCUUUAUCCACUUACAUCAAUUGCAAUAUUAAUAUUUUCAGUUGACUUUAAUCUCUCACUUUACAAAUUCAUGAGUAACUAGUGUCAUUAGUUUUUUGAGGCCCAAUGGGGAAAAAUCAUUCAAGUCAUCACAUCAAAGCGCAAAGCACUACGGCAUGAUACUCUAGUGUGAGCAUAUCAUGAUUUAACCAACCAUCAUAUUAAAUGUGCAAAGUAUUACGAUACAACAUAAUAUAAUAUUUCAGUACAUGAAUAAUAUGACUUAAUCAAUCAACACACUAAAUGUGCAAAGCGUAACAAUACAAUAUUCUUGAAUGUUCUCAAGCAAACCCCGCAACAACAAAUAUUUAAAGUGCUCUAUGCGAAUUAUACAUUGAUACUAAUCCGAUUAUCGGGUUGUUGUUAUACGAUUUCAUUAGCAAACAAAAAUUACUUAUUUAAUAAAAUAUAACCAUACUUACGAACAAACAAGGACCAUAAAUUCAUCAAUUAAUCACGCCAAAAACAUCAUUAUCAAUCGAUAAUAAAUAAAAAAAAUAAAUAGCAAUAAUAUUGUCAAAUUGAACAAAUAGAACUACAAACAAGGACUUGAUCACAUCAACAAUAAACUAUUAAAGACUAAAAUGACAAUUAACCUAUAAAGUAAAAUCAAAUUGAGUGCCCCAAUCCUCCUUUGAAACCCAAUUUUAUUAAUAACAUCUCCAUAAUUCAAAGGUAAACAUUAUACUGGAAAUUAUCAUCAUUCGUAAGUUUAUCCAAACAAUAUUAGUGGUAGGAGAUAGGGAUAAGCAAUUGACUUUUGAAUUAAAUUUUAAAUGAUAGAGUAAUCUAAUUCUAAUCUAAAUAAUUACACUAUUUUUAGCUUAAUCUAAUAAAAAUUUAAUGUAUUUAUUAAUUACAACUAAAAAUAGCUUAAUGGAUGUAAGUGAACACAAAACAAAAACGAAUUUAAGUGUUUGAAUACAUGUAGAGGCAGUAGUUACAUAAACUUGUAUGUUUCACAAGAGACAUGUCCAAAUGUUUUAGUGAAAUACACUUAAACUCAACCAUUUUAGAAGCUCAAACAUAACUUAUAACUCGACCACUAAUCAAUCAAUCCAAACACAUGAAUUAACUAAGUCAUAUAGCAAGAUGCAGUAGCAAUAAUAAAAACAAAACUAAUAUUUUUCAUAGCACAAUUACUAAUCAAAUAUUAAUAAUCGCAUACUGAUUUAUUUUAUUCUCAAGCAAUUAAUUUAACCAAAAUCAUAUCGCAUAUUAGAAAAUAUAAUAACACAAACCGAAUUACAAUAUUCUCUAUGUUUGUGGAGUCUCGUUCAGUAAGAUGAAUCUACUAUCUUUGAAAUCAAUAUAACCAGUGAUCCUAAUUCUAACAUACCCCGAUAAAGAAUCUUCACUUUUGUAUUUCAAAUGCUUGACUUCUCACUAUUAAAUUCUUCCAUGUGAGAACUAAGGUUGUAACCAAUCACAAAUAUGCUUUUAUUGUCAAAAUGCACCCUCAUAAAUAAUGCUCCUUAUUGAAAAAUAGUACUCUUUUUUUUUUUUUUAAAGUUCAUCAAUCUAUACAAGUCUAUCAAAUAUAUAAAGAUUUUCGAGACUUAUUAACAUGUUAAAUAUUAGUCACAAUCCCUUCUCAAUAGUGGUUAAAAUAGCCAAAUAAAAUAUAAUAUUAACAAUCAAAGUGAAAUGUUGGUAAAUAAGUGUAACAUCCGCUUUAUGCCUUGGAGCUGAUUACAACGUCAUGUCAGGUUAAAAAUAUUAGAGAAUUUUUAGAAAUAAAUAAAAUAGGAAAUUUUGAGUGUUAAUAUAGAACUUGUAACAUCCCACAAAUCGGAUUAGUAGUCAAGUGUUUGAGUCGGAUACCAAAAUAAGAAUCGUAGCUAAUAAUUAAAUAAAAUAUUAAAAUAAUAAUCAGAUUAAAAAUUUAAGUGUGAAAAUUGAAAUUAGGACCUUGAUAAUUAAUUAAAUUAAAACAGAUAUUAAAAAUGAAACCGAAUUUGAAAAUAAUUAAGAAAAUAAACUCUAAUUUAAAAUAAAGACCUAUUUGAAAAAAAGAAAGGAACUAAAAGAAGCAAAAACAGCAAUAACUGCCUAUUUAAACACUCAACCGUCCCCUUCCCUCUCAUUCGAUUUUUCAUUCAAAAUUUUUCUACAAACCUCAAAACUAAUACUUGUAUCGUAUUCAUUUUUUUUUAAAAUUUAAUGGUAAAAUUAAUUUUAAUAUCAGCCAAAUAUAAUUAAUAUAUUUUAAAAUUUAGAAACUAAGUCAUGGUGUUUGGAGCUCAUUAUUUAAAAGAGAAAGCAUAAAAUCAAAAGAACACUUUAUUUAGGGAAGUAGUCUUACAACGCAAACUAUUAAUGCAACACAAACAAUUAGAUAAAUUUAGGUAAGGCUCUUCACUAACCAGUGUGGGAUAUUAAAAGAGCCCUAAACAUUCUUAGAAAACCUAGCAAACACGUCGACUCUAGAUUUGAUAAUCAUAUCAUAAUACCAAACAAACCUCCCCAACACCAUCUUUUUUCCCUUUCUUUACUUCACUCAACACAGCAGCGAUACAAGAAAUACAUCUCCAUCGCACGACCACACUCAGCACAUUGCACCCUCUCCGGAAUUCUACCACCGUUACCCGGAAGGAGAAGGCGAGUGCAAUGAUGGUCCUCCAUAAUCCCUUCCAAAUGCUUACGAAGUGCUGGGAUAAAACCCAUGUGCUUGGAAAGUUUUCCCCAUUGAUCAAAGCUCUUCAUGCAGCUAAGCACUUUCUCUCCAUUGGCGCUCACCAUUUCACCCGAUCCGGUGAAGAACACAGCCCAUUCAUUUUUACUAUCGUCAUAUCCAAGCAUAGUUGCCACUUCUUGCAUUAUACCAUCGGUUGCAUUGGUCUUUCUUUGGUGGACUUUUGAGUUCAACAUGUUCUCUAAUAGGUUCCAAAAGCACCACACAUUGUCAUAUUGCCAAGCAUGGCUAAGUUGCUUCUCUAUGAUUAAACCAGUAACCUUUUUCGCUCGUUCCCUUGCAUUUUGCUUCCCAACAUAAACCAUUUCUAAGCCAAUAUCGAGAGCCUUUGCAACCCCUUUUGCUGCGGUAGUGAAACUUUCGAUCCAUUCCAUUUUCACACCACCAUAGAAACAAACCACCUUCUCUUGGCUCACCUGAUUAUAACAACACAAAACCAAAAAUAAAUUAAGCAUAUUAAUUGAUAUACACGUACAAAUUAAAGUUAAAAGGGGAUGUUCAUGUACCCAAGAAGAUAAGUUCGGUUCAAGGCGACCAACGAGAAGCUCAAAUGUCCAAGCUCUAGCUUGCCAAAUACUUUCUUCUUUUUCGCUGCUAAAUGGGAAAGCUGAAUUUCCCCACAUCCACAUCAUGUUGAGUGCAUUUGGGCAUAAAACCUUUCCUUGUGGAUUCAAUGUCACCGCAAUUGGUUUCUUAACGAAACCCCAUACUUCCCUUAUGUAUUUAAUAACUGCUGGUUUAAUGGAAAAUUGGUGGCUGACAGUAUACCAUGACAUAAUUGAUUGCAGGCUCGAAAUUUUCUGACAACCAUCAUUCCAAGCUGUUUUGUCCACAAUUGGGAGCCAUAUGAUCUCAUAGUUACGCCCAGAUGAAACCCUUUCUUUGUAAACAACUUCAAGAACCCGAAUCUCCUCUUGGGAGAUAUCAAGAUCCGAAAUAAGCAAUAAAACAUGCUUUCUUCUCAAGACAUUGAUAGAAACCUGUUAAAUUAUACCAGCAAAGUUAAUAUACGAUCCAAUGAAUUUUAAAACAUGGUUGAAACUUGGAACAUGGAAUUAAACAGACCUUGGUCUUGUCUGGAUUAAAGAGGUUCUCUUCCUUGCCGAAGAUGUUUUGGAGAAUCUUCAAGUUGUCCACUUGAGGUGUUUCAAUGGUGCGCUUGAAGUCUUCAAAAGCUUCCAUUAGCAUCUUCUCAUCUGCAUCUCAUUACAAUCAUACUUAAAUUUCUAUAGAAAUGUAUAUAUAUAGUGUUUUUAUUUCUAGAGUUUUUGUCAAGUAUGGACUCACUCAUAUGCUCAUUACAAAGACGUAAUUGAAAUUGAAGGUAUUCAUGUAUGCUGCGAAAUUUAUGUGCCAAGCUUGAUAGGUCCAAUGCGUCCAAAGUCCGUGUAAUGAACCUAAGAUAAUUCAAACAAAAGACUUAAUUGUUGGUAAAUUUAAUGUCAUCAUAUUGUCUAAUUGAGCACAUAGGAAAUUCAUGACUCACUCAUGUCUAAUCCCUACGAGUCCUGUAAUCUGCCUAGCACAAGCGACAACACUCCAAAUGAUCCGGUAGGUAGCGAAGUAGAUAUGAGCCAUGGUGGUCGACAAUGGUGGCUCAUCGAUGGGAAUAUACUUAGAAGGUAGCUCAGUAAGCUCAACAAUGCACUCGGUUACAUCGAUCAUUGCAUUGAUGAGCUUGCUGAGUGCAUCAAAGUAGGGUUUCAAUGUUGGGGAGUUCUCUAAAAUGUCGGGUCGCUUGAGGAGAGCCAUUGAUUUGGCCAAUGAGUUGGAAGUGCAAAGCUGAGAGAUCAGCCAAAACUCUCCGAAUUUCACUGCAAAAGCUGCUAAUGUUAGCACCACUUUUGCACCCCAUGAAUAGCUUGAAAGCGUGUUGAAGAUCGCCAUUGUCGUUGCAUGAGCAUCCUCUCCUCCUGAACACCUGCUUGAUAGCUACAAAACAUCGACUUAUGUUACUAUCGUUAUUUUUCGGUUUCGAAAACGAUCGAGAUUCGGAAAGCAAAAUAAAACAGCCGAAUAACCUCGCUGCAGAUUUUGUUUACUGCAUCAUGCGCGCCAUCAACGGCAGACAAGAUGGUCUGAUCGUCAAAUGCAUCGAUGUGCUCCGAUCCACCCUACAAGACAAAACAAACCCAAAGCAUUGUCUUGAAAAUCUUUCCAUUUUCUGGAAUAUAAAUAUCAUGAAAUCUUAAGGUUAUCAAAGUUUACAUUCAUGGUAUGAAGCAAAACUUUGCCAGUGAUUUGAAGAAUUGGUUUAACAUCAACAACAUGACCAUCGGAGACAUGACUCGACCGAAUUUGCUCAAUCUUGUCAUCGUCGAGCAUCCAAUGCUCAUCCCUCAUCGGUUGCUGGUAUGUUUCUGAUGAGGGUGAGACUGGGGUAGGGCGAGCCAUUGUCGAAUAUAUGAAAGUACUACUACUUUUUGAUGUUUGAUGUGUGAUGUGUUUACUAAGGAUUGUAGGGUUUAUAUAGUGAUGAGAACAUGCAAUGGGGAGAGUGCUGUUUGUCAUGUUUUGUUACCUGUCUUUGUCGUGUUUCGACUGAUUGAGAUAAAAAAAAGGAAAAUGGGCUAAUAUAAACACCAAAUAUUCUUUAAUUUAAUUUAAUUUAAUUCUUGCAUGAGUCAGUUCAAACAUCUCGAAAUUAAAGUUGUUCCCUUAUUGUCGAUUAAAGAAAAUUUCAUUGAAUUUCAAAACACGUUAGGGACCCAAGGCCAAAAUCAAUUAUACUUUGUACCCCUCUUCAUUGUUUACCGGGGAAACACGUUGACAAGAUUUGGGGGAAAAAACGAAGGAACGUGAUAAAACGUGGAUUCCGCUGACAUAGGUAUCAAAUAUUUUAAUAUUAUAAGUUUGUAGGAUAGUAAUUUUUCAACAAUAUGUUUUUAGGGAUACUUUCGGUGUUGAGUUGGUAUUAACCCCUUCAAGUUUUCAAUGUGACCUUAAAAUUAGUAUCUAUAUUAUGAUAUAAUUAUUGAAUCUAUAUUUAUGGGUGUCGAGUUCAUGGUGGAUAAUAUGUAACCAUGAACUUGACAUUUUCUAGUGUCAGGUUGUGAAUAAUUUUUUUUAAAAAAGGGAUAAUGUAAUUUUAUUAAAAUUUAACGAAAAGAUCAAUUGAAGUCGACACUAGUGAAUGUUGAGUUUCACUUAAAAUUCUUAACAGGACCUCGUAAUUUUAAAAUAUGUAAACAAGCUCCAGUUGAGUUUUAGCUUGAUUGGCAUGGGCAUUAUUGCCAAUGCAGGAGGACGUGGGUUUGAGUGCGUUGAAACACAUUAACCUCCUAUUUAUGGGUUGUGGAGGGGUUAUGGGCAAUUCUAAGCAUUGUGUUAAGUAAUGUAGAUAUGAUCAGAAUAUAUAAUUAGAUUGUUAAAAAAAUGUAAACAGGCAAUUAAACUAGUUAGUUUUUCACAAACAUCAAAAUAAAUAGUCUUUUACAUUUUAUCCUAAGCCCCAAAUAGCCAAGUAUUUGGAAAUGACACUAGUGAAGAAGGGUUUUGAGCUUCUCUUGGAGAAACCAAUGCCUACUAAUCAAAUGUGUGCAUAUGGAAAAAAAAAGUUUGCCAACUUAGUUCAUACCAUGUACCUCUUGUUGUUAUAAAAUUUCCGGACGGCUAUUACAUAUGGUUGAGCUUUGCCAUUUUGGCUUGCCUAUACAAGGUAUUGUGCACAAGGUGUAGAGUAGGGAAUAAGGAAGUGAAUGGUUGUCUUGUGAUUUUACAGCUGUGAGGGUAGUAUUGACUUUUGCUCAUUGUGUCUAUACCUUUUAAACCUCUUAGUUACCCUCUAGCUAGAUGGUAAAAAUAGAACCUAAUUCUUAAAAUCUAUUACUUUCUAAAUGUUUGAUAUUUGUAGAAGCAUUUUGUAAUUUAAUUGGUGGUUUGAGCAAUGUGACCAUAUGACAUACUAAAAGGAUAGUUAGGCAUUGAUAUUAGAAACAAUUGAUAGGGAAUCCAGUGUUUCGAUUAAUUGUGUUCUACUAGGCUGAGUUCAAUUACAUUAAGUAAUAUCAUUUGAUAAUGGAAUUUAAAUUCAAUAUUUACUUUACAAUUUUUUGUGGAUGUCGUACCAAGCAAAAGAGCUUGCAACCAUACUACUACUAGAGGCACAUGUGCAGAGCUGUGUUUUUACCAUUUGCACACCCAUUACAUGCAGUUCAUGCGUCGAGUGACAUUAGUCAAAUAAAAUAUUACAACAAUUCAAGAUGAUCUUAACAAAUCCAGAGAACAUGGAUGACUAUGAACCGACUGAUUUGUGUUUGGGGUGGGAACAUAAUUGAGUCAUUAAAUUUGUACAACACGUGACAUAUUGAAGAAAUCGUCUCCAACAUAGGCCACAAGUUUCAUUGAUCAAGGAUGACAAUUUUUGCAUCUUUUUAAGACAUACAUAGAAUGGUGUAGGGACAAUGGUAAACCAUACACGUCUUUUUCAAGAGAGACUCCAUUUUCUUGGAUUGAUCAUCUAGUUUCAAAAUAUUAGAUGAGGAACAUGAAAGUGUGGGACCAACCUAUUAUCAGAAGCCAAGUUCAAGGAGGGAGGAAUCUAUGAACGGAUUAUGAGAUAGGAUAACAUGUCAAGGGAAACAUUGGGACAGGGCCAAAUGACUAUAGUCGAGGUAGAAACCAAAGGAAAGGGCAAGGUAGAGGUGAUCCUGUUAAAGAUUCCUUGGCUAUCAUACCUGUUGAUCCUAACAACGAGCUUGACUUUGCAGAUGUAGUUUGUUGAUCCUGGAUUUGCCUAGAUCAUGGAUGAAAAAUCCAAUGCACUAAGCAGACUAGGGAUGGUAAUUUAUUUUUAUUCUAUUGUAUUACUCUGUUUCUGAUAAUGGUAGCAAAAGUUGACAUAAGAUAAUAUGUCAACCAAUGUAAUUGUUUAAUACAAAUAAAAUUAUUCAUUUAGGGUAAUAUAUGUUAUAAACCAUUUCCCUAGCUUCCAAAAAAAAAUCCAAUCUAAGUGACUAAUAUGACCAUCCAUGUAUGGUUCAUGCAUCAUCCAUGCCACCAUGGUUAAAAAAGAUGUAGUGUAAGUGUGUGUUAACAUUAUCCUUUUUUUCCUAACCCCUAAUAUUUGAUUGCUUAGUGACAUUUUUUGGACCCUACAGCCAUAUAGACCCACUAAAUGCAAUAAAUUGAGAUUGCAUGUGUUAGAGUGAUAAGUCAGGUGGUUAGUUUGUUAGGGUUUGUUAACGAGUUGUUAAGUAGGAGUUAGACCUUAAUUUCUCCUAUAUAUAGAGAUGUGUAUACUGUACUGAAGUAAGCUAAAUUCUACAGAUUGUUAUCUCUAUUAUUCUUUCUAUUUUUUCCUUAGAAUCUCUUCAUUCUUUUGAUAUUCUAGCAUGGUAUCAGAGCCUCGGUGAUUCUCGAGCAUGACUGUCACGCAUUCUGCUGACUCUGACUCUGUUGAGCAUGGAAGCUCUGUUUUCACUGGUGACCAGGUUGUUGCUUCGUUUCCUAGACAUGAGGUUGUUAAGCUUGAUGAAGGAUCGUUCGUUCAGUGGCAACAGUAGGUUUGUUUUAUCCUUGCUAGUUACGAUUUGCUUGGCUUUCUUGAUGAUUCUUUGCCUGUUCCGACGAGGUUCGUUCAAGCUCCUGAUGGGUCUCUUAUUUCAAAUCCAGCUGCCUUGGUCUUCACUCAACAAGACAAUCUUCUCACUUCAUGGCUGCUUUCUACCAUCCAUCAUUCUUUUUUGUCCUCCUUCACGGAAGUCCGGACUGCGAGUGAUGUGUGGAUCUUGGCUACUAGCUUGCUUGCGGUUGACAUGAGCACAAAGCAGUCUCAACUCCGGUAUGAGCUUCAUCGCUCAAGAAAGGUAGCUUAUCUAUUCGAUCUUACGUUGACAAGAUUAAAAGUUUGUGUGCUCUUCUUGCAGUGUCUGGUUCUCCAAUUUUGGAGGCUAAAUGAUCGGCAAUUUUACUUACAAGUCUUUCUUCCAAUUUUGAGGGAGUCCUAUCGUCGGCCUCGCUUUCUUCGACUCUGUUGCCAUUUCAAUGGCUUGUUGAUGGCUUGCUUGAGUGUGAGACUCGGCAGAGUCAAUCAGUUCAAGAGGUGGUGGCUACCGCGCACUAUGUUGAAAGAUCAUCGCCUCUCGUGGAAGAUGGCUCUUCUCGUGGUGGACGUUUGUCGAUCCGUGGCCGUGGUUGUGGUUUUCGUCCUCGGCUUCAGUGCCAAAUUUUUAGUCAGUAUGGGCAUCUCGCUCAACGUUGCUAUUACCGGUAUCAUCGAGAGGAAUAGUCGCCGAUGGUGCAACAAGGUGGGAUGGUCUCUGGUAUGUUUCAUGGCUAUGGUCAAAGUUAUACUGUUGGUCAAAAUUAUAAUGCUGGUCAAAAUUGUAAUGUUUGUCAAAAUUAUUCUCUGCCUUCUUUUGAUAAACCGACUUUGGGGAUGGAUACUAUGGCUUCACGUGGGCCGCAUGCUAUUCAUGUGCCAUUUGGGCUGAAUAAUACUAGGCUGAAUGUUGGUAUGCCUUAUGCAUAUGGUGGUGGCCAGUUUGGGUCUCCUUCUAUGAGCCCCAAUGUUGGUGAUGGUGACAAGGGCAUGAAUGCUCAUGUGCGUGGGCCAACUAGUGCAGGUCCUAAUUUGGGCCAAAUAGUUUUGCCAAGCCUCGUUUGGAUGAUGACCAUUACUCCUUCAGGCCCAAUGUUAAUUUUGUUCAUCUUGAUCCGUCUGUGUCACCCACCGCGCCUGAGGUUUCGUGGCAGAAAAAAUCGCGUGCUCGUGUGUUCGAUGGUGACUCGUCUCAGUAAGAUUCGUCUCAAUUUGUUGGCAUACCCCAUCGGGUUUCUGAUUCUCGUACCUCUGACUAUUCUGAUGCCACUGUCUAUGGUUCGAAUUUUAAUAACAUUGACUCAUAUGUGCCAUUACCGGUUAGGAGUACAUCGUGGUGUCCAAAUUUUGGAGCUACUCACCAUGUACGUCAAAAUGCCUCCAAUCUUCAUACCUCCAAUUCGUAUUCAAGUAAUUCGUCUCUUCUAAUGGAUAAUGGAGCUUCUACUAAGAUUUCAUUUAUUGGGAAUACUACUAUACCUACACAAAAGAAAAUGCUUCAUUUGUCGAAUGUUUUAUGUGUCCCAAGCAUCCGAAAAAAUUUACUGUCUGUGUCUAAGUUGUGACUGAGAAUAAUGUUUUUUUUGAGUUUUAUCCGUCUUAUUGUGUGAUUAAGGACAUCCAGACACAGGAAAUCUUGUUGCAGAGCCAAGUUCGUGAUGGGCUCUAUCAUUUUUCCACAGAGUCGGUUGCUCUCCAUCUGUCUGCUUACAACGCUGCAGUUCAGGAUUGCUCCACGAGUGAUGGUGUUUUUGAUUUGUGGCAUAAAAGACUUGGUCAUCCUUCUUCUACUAUUGUAAAGACUGUUCUUGAUUAGUGUCAGAAUUCUUUCAAUAAAAAAUGUCUUGAUCGUGUCUGUGUAGCGUGUCAGAAAGGUAAAUUUCAUAAGUUGCGCUUUUCACAAUCUCGUACUGAAUAUACUGAAUUGUUUGAAUUAGUUGUUUCUAAUUUAUGGGGACCCGCAUCUGUUUUGUGUGAAGGUAACUUGUACUAUGUCUCGUUUAUUGACAUGAGUAGUAGAUUUACCUUGGUUUAUUUGUUAAAACGUAAAUCACAAGCAGUGGAUUGUUUUCUACAGUUUCAGAAAAUGAUACUUACUCAGUUUGGGAAGUCUAUAAAGAAAUUUCAGAGUGAUUGGGGGGGAGAGUUUCGUGCUUUUGCUUCCGUACUAGCAGAUCAUGGGAUCAUUCAUCAAAUUACCUGUCCUCACACUUCGGAACAAAAUGGUGUUGCUGAGCGUAAACAUCGACACAUUAUGGAGACUGGUCUCACUCUUCUGGCUCAAGCUAAUUUACCUAUGGCUUAUUGGGGGUAUGCUUUCUGUAGUGAGGUCCAUCUCAUUAAUUGUCUCCCUACUUCAGUUUUGAAGGGUAACUCCCCGUAUCAAAAUCUGUUUGGUCAUGCCCCAACCUAUGAUCAUCUUCGGGUAUUUGGUUGUUGUUGUUUUCUACAUCUACGACCUUUUGUCAAUCAUAAGCUUGAUUUUCACUCACAGCCGUCUACUUUUCUUGGGUAUAGUUCGCAACAUAAGAGAUAUUUUUGUUUAACACCAGAUGGUAAGGUCAUUAUCUCUAGACAUGUUGUUUUUGAUGAGUCCAGGUUUUUGUUUCCUGUCGCUCCGCCAUCAGGUGAUCUGACUUCUCCGUGUACUACUACCUAUGUUCCUGUUGUGCGUUCUUUUUCUUCUCCUGAGCCUAGUAGAGUUCUUGACACUAGGGUGUCUUUAACCAGUCAGACUCGUGUGGUGUCUCAUUCUGCUCCAUGUGAUACUCGAUCAGCUUUUCCAGUCAACCCAAUGUCUGCAACGGGGUCUAGUGCAUGACCCGAUCUUUCCUCUCCUAGAGGUGUUUCGUCUUCUCCUGCACAAGUUUCUGUUCAUGCUAUUUCAACUACUAAUACUCAUGCUAUGGUUACUCGGUCUAAGGCUGGGGUGUUUAAACCUAAGGCGUUGGCUAUGGACAUUGUUGAGUCGGAGCCCGUUUCUGUUAAGGAGGUUCUUGCUCAUCCAGAUUGGUGUCUAGCGGUGCAAGCUGAAUACGAUGCUUUAAUUGCUAACUCUACAUGGGAACUUAGUCCUCUUCCUCCUCGACGUAAAAUAAUUGGGUGUAAAUGGUUGUUUAAGGUGAAGACUAAUCCUAAUGGGACAGUUACUCACCGAAAGGCCCGAUUAGUGGCCAAAGGCUGUUCUUAGGUUCCUGGCUGUGACUUCACGGAAACGUUAAGUCCGAUUGUGAAAUCGGCCACGAUCUGAACCAUUCUGUCUAUUGCUGUGUCUGAAGGAUGGUCUCUACGACAAGUUGAUGUAAAUAAUGCCUUCUUAAAUGGAGAUUUGACUGAUGAAGUUUUCAUGCAGCAACCCCCUGAGUUUGUUCAGUCUGGUUCAAAUGGAGAAAGACUUGUGUGUCGCCUGACAAAAGCUUUGUAUGGUCUACUGCAAGCUCCGUGUGCCUGGUUUAACAAGUUAAAAUAGUUUCUUGUGUCUGCUGGGUUUGUUCUUUCUAAAUCAUAUGCUUCUUUGUUUGUCAGAUCUUUCUCUGAGUUUACGCUGUAUGUGCUUGUCUAUGUCGAUGACAUUGUUGUCACUGGCAGUUCAUCUGACGAAAUUAAUUGUUUUGUUCAGCAGUUACAUAAUGAGUUUGCUUUAAAGGAUAUGGGUGAGCUCCAUUAUUUUUUGGGCAUUAAAGUGAGUAGGUCUUCCUCUGGCAGUCUUCACUUGUCUCAGCGCAAAUACAUUCGAGAGCUUCUUGCUCGAAGUUUUAUGUCUAAUGCCAAAAGCGUUCAUACGCCAAUGGUAAGUUCUUCUAUGUUGUCUAAAAAUGAGGGUGAACCACUGGCUGAUCCGAUUGAAUAUCGCAGUCUUGCGGGGGCACUUUAGAAUAUUGUUCAAACUCAACCUGACAUAGCAUAUGCUGUUAAUCGGGUGUGUCAAUUUAUGCAUGCACCUACUACUUCUCAUAUGGUGGCCUUAAAAUGGAUUUUGUGAUAUCUAUGUGGUACUCUUUCUCAUGGGCUGAUUUUUCACCGAUCUGAUCGUCUCUCUUUGGUCGGUUAUGCUGAUGCUAAUUGGGGUCUUGAUUUUGAUGAUCGGCGGUCUACUACGGGGUACUGUGUCUAUUUUGGUCAUACUCUUGUUUCGUGGUGUUCUAAAAAGCAGUCGGUUGUUUCUCGCUCUACGACUGAAGCUGAAUAUCACAGUCUUGCGGUGGCCACUAGUGAUAUUACUUAGCUAGCCUCCUUAUUAGCAGAACUGAAUGUCAAGUCCGUUGAUCUACCGACAGUAUGGUGUGAUAAUUCUAGUGCUGUGGCUGUUACAGCUAAUCCGGUUCUUCACUCUAAGUUCAAACAUGUUGAACUUGACUUGUUUUUUGUUCGUGAGAAGGUGGCUAGUGGCGACUUGAUUGUUGGUGAAGUUCCAGCCUGUGACCAAGUGGCGGAUAUACUUACUAAGCCGUUAUCAGUGUCUCUAUUUAGUUGUUUUCGUAGUCUUCUUCGGGUGUUGCCACUUGACGAAGCUGGGUGAAUGUUAGAGUGAUAAGUCAGGUGGUUAGUUUGUUAGGGUUUGUUAACGAGUUGUUAAGUAAGAGUUAGACCUUAAUUUCUCCUAUAUAUAGAGCUGCGUAUACUGUACUGAAGUAAGCUAAAUUCUACAAAUUGUUAUCUUUAUUAUUCUUUCCAUUUCUUCCUUAGAAUCUCUUCAUUCUUUUGAUAUUCUAGCAGCAUGGUGCCAUUUGUUGGUAGCGGCAACCAUAUAGACCUACCAACAAUUUUGACCUACGUCACUCUCUUCUCUCACAUCCUAUUUCUAUCUUCAGGCUUUAAACCCUCCUAUUUUCUUGUUCCUCGAGUGUUUUAAGAUUUGAAUGAUAAGGUUUAGUGUAACAACUUAUUUUCAGUGGUAUUAGGAAUUAAUUUUUGAGACCUCGACUCCGAUUAGUAUAUUAUUUUAUUAUUUAACUAGUAUUUGGAUGGUCAUGGUAGUGUCGUAUAAAAAUUUGGUGUGUUAAUUUUGUCGUUGAUUAUUUUAAUUAAGUAAAAGCGUAAAACAUAAAAGCUGCAAAAGUUUAAUAUUAUUAGUUAAUUGUAUUAAUUUUAUAAUUUUAUAUAAAAUCUAGGAUAAUAUACAAUUCAAACUCUUUAACAUUUUAACUUAAUCAUUUUAAUUAAAAUUUCAUUAGUAUAAUUUAAUUUAUCACAUGAAUUAAACUUGGAAUAAUUUAUGUUUUAAUCCUUGAACUUAAUUGUUUUUCUUAAAUUGAUACCUAUCCUUAAAUUUGGUCAACUAUAUUUUAGCCUUUGAAAUUACUUUAUAUUAUGAUGCUAUAAUUAAGAGUGAAAUGAUGUCAUUCACUUUGAGAAUUCAUGUGCCAAAUUGUUUUUUUUUUUUACUUUAAUCCUAAAUUUAUUUUUAAUUGAAGUCUAGAAUUCAUGUGCCAAAUUGCGUUUAGUUACCUUUUGAGUGUGAAAUGAUCUCAUUGACCCUUACUUAAAAUUUUUUUUAAUUGAAGUCGAGAAUUCAUGUGCCAAAUUGCCAAAAUAUUACCUUUUUUUUAUACCUUUCAAGUGUGAAAUGAUCUCAUUCACCCUUACUUCAAUUUUAUUUUUAUUUGAAGUCGAGAAUUCAUGUGCCAAAUUGUGUUUUUUUACCUUUGCAUUUACUUUAAAAUAUCAUAAAAUAAUUUAGGUAUGAAAAUAUUUUAUUCACUUUAACUACAAAAAAGACAUUAUUUUAAUUGAACACAAGAAUGGAUGCACCACGUUGUUUUUUGUACGUUCUUUUAUGGAUCUGUAAAAGGCCAAAUAAUGAGUAUUGUCAAUCCCGCGGAGACUUACUGUCCCAGGCAUUUAUUUUUUAGUCAAAUUUGGAAAUGUCAAACCAUUUAAAUUUUAUAACGUGCACACAUUCUCUUUUAUUGCUUAAAAUUGAAAUGGUAGUACAGUUUUAGAUUUAGUUUGUAUUUUUUUAAUUUAAUUAUUUUGACUUUUUUUAUAUUUUUGAAAUUUUAGAAUUUUAAUAUUGAUGUAAAUAAUAAUCUUUAAUUUAUAGUCUCUCCUCAGUCUAUAAAUAGGAGAACAAUGCGCUUCAGCGCAUUCGAACUCAUAUCUUCUUUUAUUGACAAUAAUACUUUUGUCGAUCAAGUUAAGACUCAGUCAGCACAUCUAAGAUGUUUUAUACACAGUUAAAUUAGAAUUUAAUAUUUUAUGUACAUAAAUUUAAAUUUAUAUAUUUAUAUGUUGUACUAUUUUGACAUGAUGAAGGGUAUUUUUAUGAAAAAUAUCGACCUCAAACUUUUUUGGUCCGUAUGAUUUAUAAUGUUAUUAGUUAGUAACUAGUUAAUAUAUUAUUGACUACUUUAAUUGGAUUUUUUACAUUGAUUUUUUUUAAAUGACUACUCUAAAAAAAAAAAGAUUUGGGCAUGAUGUGUUGGGAUAAUUUUUUUUUUAUCCAUAUUAGUGCUUGAAAUUAUUAAGGGUGCUAACUAUUUGGAUCAAUUAAUGACAUUGUAAGGAUAAAAUUACAGUUUCUAUCCCUUUACUAUGCUCAUAUUUUGGAUUUAAUCUUUAUAUUUUAAUUCAACGUAAUUUGGUUAUCCACUUUUAAAAUGGCAGUAGUUAGCCCAAAUAACAUCCAUGACUAUUUUGAUUAAAAUGAUUAGGUGAAUUUCUCUUAAGAAUACCUUUCUAACAUACGCACACACAAAAAAAAUUACGUAUUUAUGCAUGAAGUUAGAAUAGAUAUUUUUAAGAAAAAAAUUGACUUCAAUGUUUUGACCAAAAUAAUCAGGCAUAUCAAUUAUUUUAACUAACUAAUAAUAUUAUGUAAAGUAGCUAAAUUAUAUCAAAUUGAAGUAUAAAUAAUAAAUCCAAUAGGGAAAAGAAUCAAGGUUGAUUUGAAAGACAAUGUAAAGAGGGAAAGAAGUAAUCACUUUCUAUUUAAUUCACGACUCUUUUCGAGAUUUACGAAAGAGAAAAUUAAUUGGAUUUUCCACUAAAAAAUUCACCUUUGGUAUCAAAAUAAUAUAAAUAACGCCCUUCAAUAUUUUCUUAAAAACUUGGGAAUAAGAUCAUCAUAAAAUCAUCUGUUAUAGUCGUGUGGAUGCCUUUUUUAAUUGAUACAUGUUCUUAAGCUCGUCAAAUACAUACACAACUUCUCAAGCUCUCAAAUCUGUUUGCAUCUAAGGCCUUUGUGAACAGAUCAACUAACUGGUUUUGGGUGGAUACAUACUUUAAUUCAAUUGUCCCAUUCUCCACCAAUGAUCUCAAAUAAAAUUAUGUCUAAUGCUAAUGGGUUUGGUUUUGGAAUGUUGCAUUGGAUUCUUCGAAACAUUGAUGGCACUAGUAUUGUUACAAUAAGCUAUAGUUACUAGUAGGACAAUGCCAAAGUUUCUAACAUUUGCCUCAUCCAUAAUAACUGAGCACAACAACUCCUUGUUGCAAUGUAUUCUGCUUCAACAGUAGAAAGGAAGAUGGAACUUUGUUUCUUAUUACACCAUGACACAAGAUUACCUCCUAUGUAAAAACAUCCUCUUGGAGUGCUUUUCUAAUGGUCCAUGUUCCCAACCCAAUCAACAUCAUUGUAUCCAACUAGGCACAUCGAAUUAUCUUUAGUAAACUAAAUGCCAAGCUCUAGGGUUCCAUAAACAUACCUAGUGAUUUUUUUAACACCUUUGACAUGUGACUCUUUUGGAUUGGCCUGGUAUCGUGCACAAAUACCCACACUAAAGCUCAAAUCCAGUUGUGUUGCAAUAAAAAUAUAGUAGACUUCCAAUUAUGCUCUUGUAAGUGGUCUGGGGAGUGGAAACUCCCUCAGUGUUAAAACACAGUUCAUCAUUGUUGGAUCAUCGGUAUGCCCCAUGAUGCAACGAAAAUGAUCCACAACCCCAGUCUUACUAUCCAGAUUGGGGUGAAGAUUAGAACAAAUAUGAGGAGGACCCAUCACUUGUUGCUCGUGUUAGUGCAUUGGAGGAUGGUAUGUCUUUGUGCAAAAUUUCCAUGUCCUCUAUGUCCAAAUAAAUGGAAUAGUUAUUGGAACUUGUCAAAUGCCGAUUUGAAGUGGACACUCCAAAAGAAGAGGUUGAGCAUGAUGUUUUCAACUCUAAAGAUGAAGGCCACUUUAUUAUUGUUAAGCAUGAAAAGUUGAACGUGGAUGUUUAACAAGAUUUUGGAAUUGGAGACCAUAAUGAAGACUUGAAUGUGAAAGAAAGUGUCUCUAGUCCAAUUGACAUAGGAUUAAGAGUAGGAGUUGAUGUAGAAUUAGAUGCUGAAGAGAAGCUUAAACCAAAACUGAGGUCACGACAUGAGGAUGUGAAGUCGCGACUAUAUGAUAUGAUGUCACGACAAGAGAAACAAAGACAAAAUCAAGGCAUCCAAGUCAGUACGUCAUGUUGUGAAGAGACAAAUCUUGAUGUUGCGACGAGCUACCUUGAAGUCGUGACAACACUAAUUGAGGCUGCAAUGAGCUCUGAUGUACUAGCCCUGGUAAUUGAAAUCUAGAUACAAGGUCACGAUGAGUAGGAUUUUAAUGUCGUGACAGGGUGACAAAUUUAAAACUCUAUCAUCCCGAUGUUUGCAUUUAAACAGUGUAAGGCCCAAUUUUGGCCUGGGCCCUUGCAAACACAAAACAAACAAAAACCAAAGUGAAAAAUACAGAAAUAAAAACCCAAUAAUUAUUAUUAACAAUCCAUCAGUCUAAAAUUACUACAAUGGCCCAUAGUCCAUUUACAAACAAACCCAGACCCAAAGUUACAAGGCCCAAAUGGCCCAAAAGACUUUAGAAACAGAAACCCUAGGGUUUCUCUCCCUUGCGCCGCAGCCUUCAGCCACCGUACAGCCCCAACGCCGCUCGUGUCUCUCCGUCAACAGGCCGUACGCCAGCCUUACGCCUAGUGCCAGCGCCAUGCUCCCGUACCUGCAAAAAAAAAAAGACAAACAGAGCAGCAGCAAAUGGGAAAUAACGAAAGAAUUGUAUUUUUAUUUUUUUGAUUUUCUUUCUUUUCGGCUAUAAAGCCAAGGUUUUUAAUCUUUUUAACCGGUUACAAAAAACACGAUUUACGCACACAAAAAAAGGAUGCACAAAAAAGCAAUCAAAUAGCAGAGGUGAUUUCUUUUUUCCUCCAAAUCUCUUUAGCUUUCUAUGCAUUGUUUCGUUCUCUGUUUGGGUCAUUCACCAUUGUUAUAAAAAUAUAGAAAGAACGGUGACAGAGGAGCCUUACCGUGCGAGCAGGCCAUGGAUUUCUCCUCCUUUCUUCGUCGAAAUCGAAGUUGAGGAGGGAUUUCGGGCUAAGAUUCCUCCAGACGCAAAGAACCCCACCUGGUGAAGAUGAAUCGGCAUUGGAAGGAGAGAGUUUAAGGCUGACGAUUAGGGAGAGAGGCUAGGGUUCUUGAUUCGGCUGAAUAUGGUCUGGAUUGAGGCUUUUAAAGAAUAAAAAACGGCACCGUUUGGGCCUAUUUCAAUGGCUCCAAAACGGUUCCGUGUGAUUAUGCCCGACUCGAUCCGCCCCCUUUACCCUUGGGAUCCGCGUGUUUCUGUGGGGAGCAAUAAUUGCAACAUAAGUCCUCCUCUUUUGCGCUGUAUUUCAAUCAGCUAUUUUGUAUUUCUUUUGUUUUUUUUAAAUUCACCCUGUAAAUUUGCGCAUGAGUGCAAUUUAAUCCGCGCCUAAACACUGCGUUUUGAGAGCUGGAUUAUUUCCAGUCUAAGUCCUUACGCAUUUGUGCGCUUCGCACUUUGGUCCUCUUUUUGAUUAUUUUAUUUAUAAAUUAGCCCAUUCAUUCUAAUUGUAUUUUAAUUAGACCCCUUUGAUUUGUAUAAUUCUUUUUUAUUCCACUCGAUUUUUAUCAUGUUAUUUUGAAAUGUUUUUUUGUAUAAUAUAUCCUUUAAAUGUUCUUAUAUACUAUUAAGUACAUGUAGUUCAUGAUAAAGUUGGAUUUUAUUCUAUAUACCUUAUUAAUUCUAUGUUACUUCACAUAUAUUAUUUCUUUUGAAUCUAUUUGCAUAUGUGUUAAAACCUUAUGUAUAUAAAACUUAUUUUAUCAUACUUUUUUUUUGUUUUUUAAAAAACCUUUCAUAUCUUUUUUAAUAUUCUUUAUUAUAUGUGUAUGGUCUAUUUUGAUAUUUCAUUUAAAAAAAAACGUUUUGUACAUUUUUUUUUCUUUUUUUUUGAAUUAUUAUAUCAUAUAAUCAUUUUGAAAUUUUCUUCAUGUAAUUUUAUGUUUAAAAGAUUUAUAUAAUAUUUAUCUUCAUAUAUCAAUAUUUAUAUAUACAUACACAUGAUUUAUAGCGAAUUACUUAUUUAAAUCCUCUUUUGAAUAUGUUCAUAUUUUUUAAUUUUUACUUUUAUAUAUUCUUUAUUUCUUUUAAAUCCAAUCUUGGUAUUAUAUAUUUUGUUUGUUUCAAAUAUUUUUCCUACAUUAUUAUCCUUUUGUAUAUGCAUUGUUUAUAUUAAGCUUUUUACUUCACGAAUAUUAAUUAUUGUGGAUGAAUAAAUCUUGUUUCAAAUUAUUUUUGUACAAUCACUAGUUUCAUAUUACAUGGUUAGUAGUUCAUAUACAUUUUUUUAAAUAUUUUGAUACGGUUAUACUCAUAUAAUCUAUUUAUCUUAAAACUUUUUAACAUGUACGUCAUUGGUUUAAAAAUUUAUAUUGACAUCCAUUACCAUAUUUAUGUAUAUUAUAUAUAAUCGAUAAAUUUUGGGUUUAAAUCGUUUUGUAUAGUUUUCUUUUCAAAAUUCUUCUUAUAAUACUAUUUUUGAAAUUCAUUUAUAUGUUAAAGUAUAUAUAUUAUUUACUCUAUAUUUUUAUUGUUUGAUGUUCUAACUCAAAUUUUUAUGCGUAUAUACAUAUUCCAAGUUUCUAUGAAAUAUUUCGAAUUCUAGCAUAUGCUAGCUUUUAUGAUCUAUUUAUUUUAUAUCAUGCUAUGUACAUUAUUGUGGCAUAUUAUUGUGUGUAUUAUUUUGGCUGUGUUGAAUUGUUAUAUUAUUAUCUUCGUCAUUGUAUUAUUAUGUCAAUUAUUUCUCAUGCAUGAUUGCAAUCGGAUUAUAUUUUUAGGUUAGUUAUACUUAAUUUUUAGUUCGUUAAUUGAUUGUAUCUCAUGUGCGUAUUAUCCCAUAUCAUAGUUUUCACUUGGUUUAUGAAAUUUGGUUUUAUAAGGUCCAAAUCUUUAAGAUUAAUUCCGUUUUAUUUCAAGUCGAAUUAACGCGUUUUAAGCUAGUUUUAUGAUUAUUCCUUUAAAAAUUCUUUAAAACGAAAGCGAUGUCCGAUAUUUGGCAAUCGGCGAAAUCGUGCCCUAACGUGCUGGGUUGCAAUUUCUCGUUUGCUCAAAAUAAUUGAAUGUCCUUUAGAAUUUCAUUCAUGUUUUCUAAAAACUCUUUAAAAUGAAGGAAAUGUUCGAUGUUUGGCAAUUCGGGGAAUAGUGCCCUAUCGUGCUGGGUUGCGAUUUCUUGUUUGUUCAAAAUAAUCGAAUAUUCCUUUAGAAUUUCACUCAUGUUCUCCAAAUUCUAAAAUAAGGCAAUGUCCAAUGUCUAGAUGUUGGAAUUCCUAAGAUUAAGGACAGAAAACUUACCUUAUUACUAGGAGUUCCCUUGUAAAUAGAAACUAAUCUCAAUCACUGAUUCUUAGGAAGUUACUAUUUUUUCGGGAUUGUUUUCCUUGUUUGUGUGAAUUCCUCUCUUUAUAGGUGUAAACUAAUUAGCAGAAUUAAUAAUAAUUUUUUUUCUAAGUUUCUUCAUGGUAUCAGAGUUUUAGGAUUCAUUCGAUCCUGCUCAUUCGUCUCUAAUCUCCCUUCCUAAACAUCCCUCCGGUUUAGUCCUCCUCCCAUUGGUGAUGUUAAUGAAACUCUGUCUGAAACUUAGACUUCACAAAUAACUCAGAAUGUCAAUCAGGGAAUCAUUCAAGGUGAACUUAAUUCCUCCCUUAUAAUCACCAAUCAUCAGUUAGAUCGGAAGAGCUUCUUGCAAUGGUAUCAAUCGGUCCAUAAGGUGAUUCGUGGUCGUGGCAAAUUAGGAUAUAUCAAUGGAGAAAUUCUACGACCAACCACUGCUGACCCGACUUAUGCCACUUGGGAACUCAACAAUUCGAUUGUAAUGGCUUGGCUAAUUAAUUCGAUGGAAGGCCAUAUAAGCCGUACCUAUCUCUUUUUCAAAAUUGCAAAAGACAUGUGGGAUGCAGUCAAAGAAAACUACUCGGAUCUUAGAAACGCCUCUCAAGUAUUUGAGAUCAAGCUUAAGUUAAAGGAUAUCCGGCAAGGGACACUCGAGGUAACUCACUACUACAACAAUCUGAAAAUUUUAUGGCAGGAACUGGAUAUGUACUAUGAGGCAGAUUAGGGUGAAGGCUUGGAACACACUAAUUUUAUGACUCACUUCAACAAAGAACGUCUUUAUGAGUUUCUAGCAGGACUUAACCGUGAGUUAGAUAAGGUCCGUGGCUGAAUUCUGGGCAGAUCACCUCUACCAACCAUCGUUGAAGCAUUUGCAGAGUUAGAAGAAAAGAAAAGCGCCAUUUUGUCAUGAUGGGAGACUCAAAAGAACCUAAACAUGUGACAACUCUUGGCAAUCGGUCUACUAAGACCUUUGCCCUCAUCUCUAGAGGUCCACAGCCACAAAAACCAUUUGCUGGAAAUGAUUCUGGAUCAACCAGGCCAUGGUGUAACCACUGCAACCGUGUUGGUCAUACAAAGGAAAAGUGCUUCAAACUCCAUGGCUAUCCUGAAAAAAAAACAGAAGGAUAAUAAGACUGCCCUGUUAUCCUCCACUGCUGCAGAUGAUGUUCUCGAUGUUCGCCUAACCAAAACCCAAUUUGAGACUCUCCAUAAGAUACUUGGUACUUCCACUGCUCAUGGAUCUCUAGCCACCCAAGGUACUGCCCUCAAUAUUGCCUUUGAAUCAAAUAAUCAAUCCUCUUGGAUACUCGAUUCGGGUGCCUUCGAUCACAUGACAGGUAACUCCACUUUGUUUCACACCUAUACCCCUUGUCAUGAUAAGUCCCGAAUCCGCAUAGCUGAUGGUUCUUACUCACCUGUGGCUGGAGUAGGAGAAGUACAAAUAACAGAGAAUUUUUCCCUCGAUAAAGUCCUACAUGUCCCAAACUUGUCCUGCAAUUUACUUUCAAUCAGUAAACUUACUAAGGAUGAAAACUUCUUGCUGAAUUUUCUGCAAUUGGUUGUGUGAUACAAGAACAGAAAUCGGGGAGGAUGAUUGGCACUGCAAAAGUUGAUGAUGGACUAUAUGUUUGGAAUAAAGACAGCACACAAUGAGGAUUGGCUCUAUCCACUUCAAAAGAGGACACGAUUAUGUUAUGGCACCGUAAGUUAGGGCAUCCAAACUUUUUGUAUUUGAAGAAACAUCUUCUGCUAUUAUUUCGAAAUAAAAGUAUUAAUUCCUUGAAGUGUGAAAUUUGCCAAUUAUCCAAACAUACCCGUGUGCCAUACCCAUUAAAACCAUAUAUCCAGUCUCAACCAUUUUCAUUAAUCCACAGUGACCUAUGGGGAGCCAGCCGAGUGAAAAAUAUUACAGGGGCUAAGUGGUUUAUAACAUUCAUUGAUGACCACACUAGGGUAUGUUGGGUCUAUCUCUUCAAAGAAAAAUCUGAAACACCCAAAGUAUUCCAAAAUUUUCACUCAAUAGUUUGAACCCAGUUCAACUCUACCAUACAUACUCCCCACACUGACAAUGGGAGAGAAUACUUUAACUCUGUCAUAAGCCCAUACCUUUCUGACCAAGGCAUCAUACACCAAAGCUUUUGUCCUAACACUCCUCAACAAAAUGGGAUCUCCGAGAGAAAAAAUCGACAUCUCAUUGCUGUAGCUCUAGCCAUAAUGUUCACCAUGAAUGUUCUAAAAUACUUGUGGGGAGAGGCUGUCCUCACUGCCUGCUAUCUCAUAAACCGAAUGCCAUCAAAGGUCCUCAAUUUCCAAACACCUCUAAAUACCCUUCUAAAGUCAUUUCCUCUAUUUCGUGUUCCUAAUCUUCCAGCCAAAAUAUUCGGUUGCAAAGUUUUUGUCCAUAACCAUCAACCAAAUCAAUCCAAACUUGAUCCUCGAGCCCACACCUGCAUCUUCAUUGGAUAUUACCCCACACAAAAA